AAUUAGUAUCAAUGAUUUAAAAACAAAUUGAACCGAUUGAUUCGACUUAUCAAACUUUAAACUAUGCUAUCAAAGAUCUGAUUUCAACCUAUUAAACUGAAUUAGAUUAAGAACAAUCUGAAACCGUUAAAGAUAAUAAAUAUUUUAAACAUAAUGAUAUUUUAACUGUUAGAGCUAAUAAAUAUUUUAAACAUAAUUUUAAACAAAAAAAUUAAAAAGAUUAGGAUUACUAUUCAGAAAAAAAUGAUUAGGAAUUUGAAUUUGAACCCGACUAACAAUUGCAAAACCUAUUUCCAAAGUCGACGGAUUUCAAAAAUUCAUAUCUAAAUCCAAAACUGACCAAUUUUUCGAAAUCCAAAACCAAACCCAAACCUGAAGAAUGGAACCCGAAAUAAUUAUUUCUUUUUACCAUAUUUCAAAAUAUUUUAUAUUAAAUUUAAAAUUUUAAAAUAUAAAUUCAAAUCUAUACCUCUAUACCUAUACAUUAUUUCUCCUAAUUUUUUGCCACGUGGCGAAUUCUCCUUCACUCUUUUCUCUUCUCUCUUUCCACUCUCAUUUUCACCCAAUAUUUCAUCUUCCUAAACCCCCCACUCAAUUAAUGUGUUUACAUAAUACCAUCUCCACCCAAUACUUCAUCUUCCUAACCCCCCUAUCUCUCAAUUAAUAUGUUUAUAUGAUUUCAUCUCCAUUUCUUCAUAUCUUUUUUUUUCAUUUUUUUUUUUCUCCCCCUUAUCUCUCAAUUAAUAUGUUUACAUGGUUUAAUCUCCAUUUCUUCAUAUCUUUUUUUUUUUUUUUCUUGGCGCACAAAAAGGGCUCAUGUUUUGUAACUUUCUAAAAUUUUUUGUUGUGUGUGAAUUGAAAUUAGGGUUUCGAGGAUCGCGACGGAGCACUGCAGAAAAAAACGGUGAUGGAUUUGGAGUCAGUGAGAGAGAAGAAGCAGUGGAUGUGUGGUCGUGACUAAAGAGGAGCUGGACACUAGCGGCGAAGGCGAUGUAAAGAUCGGAAUUUGCCUCUCCGAUGUCGAUAGUGCAAUGAAGAUGUGUAUAGGGUAAAAAAAAUUUUAUUGCUUAUUUUAUUAUUAUUAUGUGUGAUUUAUUUAUCAAAAUUAUAAAUUUUAUUAUAUCUAUACCUAUAUCUAUUUUAUAUUUUAUACUUGUGUUUAUUGAAGUCCCAUAUCAAAUCAAAAAAUUUAAAAUUUUUAUUUUAUUUAUAUUUUAUAUUCUAUAGUAUCAUUCCGCCGCAAUGCGCGGGUAACUUCACUAGUAUAAUAUUAAACUUUAUAUAUGAUUCGGGUCAGAUUUAAGAUGGAUAUAGACAAAAUCCAUAGUUGGUCCACAAAAUAAUCUCACGUUCUUGUUGUCAAAUAAUUUGAAAAUUUUCUUAUAUAAAAUGCCAAAUAUGAGAGGAAAAAUAGAGAGAGAAAAAGAAACAAAGAGAGAAUAAAAAUUUUGAUAAUAUAGUAGAGAUAAAAUGACUAAAUUGCUCUUGUAUUAAAAGACAAAAAUACCAUUUUUUGAGGUACCUAGUAACCGGUACCUUUCCUAAAGUGACCUGCUAUUCUAUGUCACAAUUUAAAGAAAAUUAAAUCUAAACUGUUGAAUGGGAGUGAAAGAACGGUAAAGAAAAAAAAAAUAUAUAAAAGCAUUACUCUUCUAAUUAUAUUACAAUUGGGUACCUUUUGUCAGCUCCUACAUGUAGAGCACAUUAUGGAUAGUGGAUGGUACGACCCUGUUCAGGUUGCCCCUGUUCAGGUUGCUCUAAGGUGGGGUUUGUGGCCAAUUAUAGAUGUUUAUACCUACGGAAGAGAGAGUUGACUGUGUUUUGAUGCACCUGAUGUAUAGGUGUGUAGAAAUAAUUAAAUAAGUUGGGUGUUUUGGGAAUAGCUUCAAUUUCAACGAAAGAAGUCUUCUCAUAUUAUAGAAGACGAGAAAGGGUUCAGAAUGAAGCUAUUCCGCUAGAAGAGAAGUCAGAUAUAAUUCUUCUCUUGUUUAAUGAAUUUUAUUUCAACUGUAUAUUCUGCUUAUUUCUUUCUCUUUUUUAUAGUUGUGCGAGCUUUUGCUUAGGAGACGAAUUUAUAGCAAAAAAUUGAUUUAACACUUUUGUUGCAAAAUUUAACAGCUAGUAUCAGAGUGAGUAUCGGGUAAUUAAACAACAGAUGAUAUCAGAAAGAGUUGCAUAUUCUCAGCAUCUGGUAUCAGAGCGAGUACCAAAAUUUCAACAAUUGGUAUCAAAGCUUAAAGUUACUGAUUCUUGGGAGAGAUCAAUGAAAAUGACAACGAAAUUUGAAAUCGAGAAGUUCGAUAGCAAGAACAAUUUCGACUUGUGGCAGAUUAAAGUUUGAGCAGUUUUGUAAUAACCGAGAUUUUCAGUAAUAAAAAUUAAACCCUUUGUUGACAAUGUUCUUAUGUGUAAUAUAAUUACAUAAGCACUCGUUAAAUUUCAGGUGAAAACGAGUUAAGAUGGAGAAGUUAUGCGACCUGAACCGAUAACUUAAAGUGAAUAGUAACUCCGGCUUUCCAGAGAAGCCAGUGAGUAGAAGACGGUUUUGGUGCGCAUUGGACCCCGAUCAUAGCGCUCCAAUAGCUCGUUUCGAACGGUUCGACCAUUCUGGACCUAAUGGCACUGACGAAAUUGGAUUCUGAUCCACGAUUGUCGAGAAAAAGGGGUUUGAUCGGUUUCACAUGUAGUAAUAUAAGUGGCUACAUAGUGAAAACAAAAGAGGGAUGGUUUUGACGCAAAUCGAAAACCAAAUCGGACAAAGUAAGAUGCUAGAUUCGAUGCCCCAGUCGUUGUGAACGCGCUUGCGCAAUCCGUUUGGAAAUCCGACGGACGGAUCUUCGGGAAUCGUGAAAAGUCCGCUAAGAGGUCAAUUUGGCAAAAUCGAUUAAUCGCGAAAAGACCCUAUAUUUUAUGCGCCGUUUCACGAGAUUUCGAAUGUCGAGGGGCUGGCAUGCAAGUUACACAUGCGGCCAGGGGCAGGAUUUUAAUUAUUUGACUUUGAAGGGGUUCCUCGCAAAAUGACACCUUGUAUAAAAGUGGCAUCUAGGGUUUUCCAUGGUUCUUUGGCUGCCCACGUUCACUUUGCUAACCCUAGCCGCCCCACCUACACCCUGCCCUGCCUAUACGCACACCCGGACUGCCGGCGAGUAGCUCCGGCCGCCGGAAAAUCCACCCCGGCCUCCCCUCAACUCCUCGUUAGACCCACAUCGCCACGAGCUCAGUUGUUGUGCUCGAGGAGGCAUCGAAGCUCGAGUUUCAACAUCCCCUGACUGAGGCCCAUCCCGAGCGCCGUCCCCGNCUCGGUUGUUGUGCUCGGGGAGGCAUCAAAGCCCGAGCUUCAACAUCCCCUGGCCGAGGCCCAUCCCUAGCGCCGUCCCCGCCAGCCUCCGCCGUCCUCGCGUGCCGCCGGAGCCAUCCCAGCUCCCUAUGGCUAGCUGCAGUCACCCAGGCCGAGUCUGGGUGAUCUCUGCCUCCGCACGCCGCCGUCGCUCCCCGCCGGCCGCGACGCCCUCCUCGCACCUCCGGCGACCUCCCGCUCGCCAUCCCGGCCAUCCCCGUGGACCGCCGGCCGCUGCUUGUGCACCUUGCGGCCGCCAUGGGUUGGUGCGGGCCGAGGUCGAGUCCGGUCGACUUCCAAGCGUCGCCGCUGUCCAACGAAGGGUGCACCGCCUCUCCCUCGGCCUCCGGCGUCGAAUCGUCGCCGCCCCAAGCUCCUCCGGCCGCCGCCUUGCUGCCAGCGCCCUUGAACCCGUGAGCAGCCUUAGGGAGUUGAUCUCCCCCGCCGCGCCACCGGCCGCCUCCAGCUACCGGCCAGCGGGUGCCCCGGACCUCACCUACCGGCCGCGCCCUCUCCUGGCUGGACCAACCCUAGCUCUCCCCGGUUCCGGUAAGGCUGUUUUAUGUUCCAACACUGAAUUCUGAGAUUCCGGUCACCUUUUCGGUGAUCCGUUAAGCCUUCUAGACCUCGGGAAGUGAGCACGGUGAUCUACAACACGUGCUGAACAUCUUGCUCACCUCCGACAGGGACAGAGAUGCCCUGGAUUGUGCAUUAAUGGCAAUCUUAGCGCUGUGCGCGCUGUUUCACUGAGUUUCAUGUCACUCAUGCGUGUGCCACAGUGGCCGACAGUUCUCCGAAAGGUGAGCACGGCCUUCGCUGAAACCUAUCAGCGAGCGUGACGGUUUGCCGAAUCGAUCUCUGGUUUGCGUGCACGGUCAGAAAAGCCUAGAAAUCACAUAAAAUGAUGCGAUUUCAUGUAUCGGUAUGGGCUUUUAGGACUUUUGCUUCGAUGUAGAUGCUGUUGGCAGCAUGUUUGGGCUGAGGAUAACCUCUGGACUGAUCGUCCAAGGCCCCAAGCUUUUGCGGAAAUCGAAAAGUGAUUUCUGGAGCAUUUUUCGGCGAAAUCCGCCGAUAGAACGCGUUUUCGAUUCGAAAUUCAUCCGACGAUGCCUCGUGGUUGAUUGUAGUGUCGCUGAGCCUUGUUGGCUUGUCACCCGUGUCGUUUCGAGGGUUCAGAAACGACGGGUGAGCAACAGCGGUUUCCGGUGUCGAAAUAGACACUUCCGGGAACCCGAAUCGGAACGAUUAUCCGACGAUAAUCGUUCCGCAUUGAGUUAGUGUCUUUGCUGCCUUGUCACACUAAAAUAGGUGUUUAGCGGCAGUGAGCAACUCAUAUGAUGAGUUGGGUAGUUCCGGGAUGGUUCGUGGGUCCCGGCGGAGUCCCGGUGCAGUUUUUUUGUGACUUCUAGUGAGUUCGGCAACCUGUUUUGGGAAACCGAUUCCCGAGGGGCUAUGAUUGUGGGAUUGUGAGUUAGCGAUACGUGUUAGUGGGUUAGGUUCUAACCCGGUGGACCUUUCGUAGGUUCGGUUGCACCGUCUUCACAGUCGAGAGAUUUUCGUCAGACACGUACAGGUGGGUACUUCGAUCCGACGUCGGUACAGUGGUGCACGCUCGGUGACGUUUCCUUUACCCUUGUUGUUUAUAUCAUUUACCUUAUACAUGUUGAGCCUUGCACCCAUGCUAUUUCCUUAUUUACUCUACUUAGUUGUUGCCAGGUGCAGUAUCAUAUGUAGGAGUAGAGUAGACUUUAUCUGUAUAUGAUAUUUAUGACCUGGUCGGUCGGUUCUCCUAUUUGCAUCUGUGAUCUGGUUGGUCGGUUCUCCUAUUUGCAUCUAUGAUUUGGUUGGUCUGUUCUCCUAUGUGAUCUCCAUGAGCUGGUUGGUCGACGUUGCAUCUCUUAUACUUGUGACCUGGUUUGUUGAUUUGAUUACAUGAUGACUUAUGUGGUUGGUGUGCCCUAGGGGGCAGGAUUGUCGGCUGGUUGCCGACGGUUGAUCAUUGAGCAUAUUGCAUUGAUCGCCCGAUACUCGUCACAUUUCACGAACACUGGCGGUCUGAUCCACCACAAGGGGUGUUCUUUUCCGGAAAAGUGGUUGCAGGUGCCAACCCGUGAGCCCUAGAGGGGUUAUAUGCAUGAUAGAGUAGUAGUGGCACUGGCUUGAGGUUUGCGGUGCGGACCAAGAGAGCAUUGGUUUCAGAUUGGGUACUUUUGGACUGAUUGUCCCGUUGAUGCAUGCAUACAGUAGCUGUAGUGGUUUAUCUAUACACAUUUUAUUACUUGUUUAUCUUAGCUACUGUACUACCAUUAUCCAUAUCCUUGUUUAUCUCCGUGACUAGUGAGUACCCCUCGCCCUCGUCGGCUUGCGGUACCCACUGGAAGGGGAGACAUGUUUACAUAUUCUCACCCCCCCGCCCCCAUUACAGGUGACGUCGCAAGUCCGAGUGGGACAGCUGGUGAGGAGCGUGUCUAGCGUACGAUAGAGCUCCGUCCCGUGUCGGUUAUUUCUUUACCCUUCAUGCUUGAAUAAAUAACUUAGACAUAUUAUGGUUCAGUUUUGUUAUAUUAUUUGAAUAUCUGAGUUUUCAGUUGGAUUUAUGAUGUAAUAAAAAGGAUUUGUGGAUUUCAAAUGUUGAAUGGUUUUCUACCCCUCGUGGUAGCGUUUCUAAAAGAUAAAAGUUCCCGUGUAGGAAACAGUUUUUAAAAGAUUUUUUGUGGAUUUUGUAUCUUAAUAUUUCAAAACCUGUUUCUGGGUUGGAAACGUUUUAACUGAUAGAUGUAGAUUUAUGUUUAAAUAUUAAAUGUAUAACUGUGAUGUGAAUGGUGAAUGAAUGAUUGUAUAGUUGUUUCUAUAUUCAUUUAGUUGCGGUUGUAUCCAGUUUACUUGUUGUACUUGUGCGACGCCGUGCAAAUACAAGGGAGACUUUGUCCGUGUGAUCAGUGAACUUUCUGUAUUUGUGGUGGAUCUGGCAUACCUUGGGGUCAGAUCUUUCAAAAAAAAAUUUCUGGCUAUUUCCGCUGUAUUUUCAAACAAAAAUAGACCCCGGGGCGUGACAAGUUUUGACACAACAAGAUUUGGAUGAGAUGUUGAAAGGAAAAGAGGCAAAGUCGACAGAGGUCAUGGAUACUACAAGGGAAAAGCUGGAGUGGAAGGUACUUAAUACGCUUUAUCUAUUGUUAACAGAUGAGAUUCUUUAUAACAUGGCCAACGAGUCUACAUCGGCAAAGUUGUGGGAAAAGUUAGAAAUUCUAUAGACGACCAAGUCCCUGAUGAAUUUAUUGUAUCUAAAGCAGCGACUAUUCAUGCUGCGAAUACAAAAAGUGGCGACCCUACAUGAGCAUCUUAAUGAGUUUAACAAGGUAGUGACCCAGUUGACCAGUAUCGUAGUCAAUCAGGAUGACGAGGACAAGGCAUUGAUUUUACUUUCUUCAUUAUCAUGGGUAUUCGAGUAUUUGGUGACCACAUCACUUUAUGGCAAGGAGACCAUAAGUACGGAGGCGGUCACAAUGGUGCUUCUCUCAAACGAGAUAUGAAAGAUGACAUAGGAGUCUGACAUGCAAAGUCGUGAUACAGCGCUAGUGGUUAGUGCGACAAAGGAUGCGAAAACAUUGGCGACCGAAAGUGGAUAAAAAAAGCUGCUAUCCGCGGUGGAGUGCUUCUACUAUCAUAGGAAAGGUCACUAUAAGUGCAACAGUCAUAAGCUUUAAAGUGAUAUGAAUGAGCUCAAGCAACAGAAGGAAAAAAAAAACUAUUGUGGACUCGAAUUAGGAGAGAUCAGUGAUGGCGUAGCAGCAAAAUAGAAGGUAAUCAAUUCUAAUGCACUACAUGCAACAACUGGUGAUGCUAAAAUUUCGGAUGAUGUGUGGGUGCUCAAUUGAACGUGUUCCUUUGACGUCUGCCCAGAAAAAAAGUCUUUUGCUAUCUAUAAAGAAAUCAGAGGUAAAAAAGCUUUUAUGGGGAAUGGGACGGCAUGUAAAGUUUUGAGAGCCGGCGCGGUGAAGAUUCAAGUUUGUAGAAACUAAACAAAAGAACAAGAAGAUGGCACAUCAGGUUCCUUGCUUUCUAAUUCUUAAUUUUCUAUUGCCUUUUCUUUUGACUACUUGAUUUUCCUUCAUGGCAAAAGAAAAUUGUAUUCUUCUUUAACACUUUUGUUUUGGUUAAUCACUUGUAUUGAAAUGCUGUUUGAUUUUAAUUUUUCAAAUAAGAGAAGUUAGGUAGAACUCAGCAGUACCCUCACAUUGUCGAAUAUCAAACUUAAUUAGUCUGAUCACAUUCUCAAUGAAAACAUUAUGUUUCUUUUCGUUUCAGUUCCCAAACACAAAAAAUACCAAUCACGACAAACAAUCAUUUGAAAUUCUCCAGUCUUUUGCCGUAUUUUAGGUGAUCUAAGCAUACAAUGCAAGUUUUGUACAAGGACUAGUAAUAUGAAAUAAAAACCAGUGAACAGGCACAAAAUGCAAAAUGCAUUGUUGAGGUCAUCAUAAAACAAGUCGGUCUACGAGGAAAACAAUUAAAUUAUUCAAAAAUUUGCAUUCUAGAACUUGUUUAUCCAUCUUUAUGAAAAAGCAAACUAAAAACUAACACAAGAACUUAAAUCUCCUUAAUUGGUUGUAGUUUUCUAGUGAACUGCGAUUGAAAUUCAAAGAUUUAAUACCUAUGAAGCAAGAAACUGUUGGUUUCUCCAUAAAUUUACAUUGAGGAAGAGGAGAUACAUGUGACAGUACAUACAAAGGUAGUGAUGUCAUGCAAAUAAAAGGUUUUUUUUACACAAAUUUCCUCUCAAGAUUUGUUUAUUCACACAAGAAAAUUCCUGGAAUUUAUAUUGAAUCCUGAAAAAUACUAUAAUCUUACGGUAUGACUGACAUAAAUGUAUCUCUAAUAGUUUAUAGGAUCGUGCUACAAAAUACUAAAUUCAUCGAUAGAUUAAUCUCACUUUCUCCAUCUACCUAACUGAAACACCAUUUUGUGAUGUAGGAAUAUAAUUAUUAUUCGGUGAUUGGUCUCCAAUACCUCUGUAGAGAAUUCCACCGUGUCCAAUGCAAAAUGCAAGUCUACAUGGAGUUUGAUGUGAAACCGUCUCGAUGUUUAGCAUCACCACCACUGUCGACAUCAUCGGUCUAUCUGCUGGAUCCUCCUGAACACAUAAUAAUCCGAUGGGAAUGUACCUCAAUGCUUCAUUUUGCAAGUAAUUUCUGCCUAAGGAUGGAUCCACUAUCUCUAAAAUUGUUCCAUUGAUCUAGUGUUCCCAUAUCUACAUCACUGCAAUUUUAGUACAUCAAAAUCCAUCCAAUGUUCUAUACAACAAAGAGAGAGAGAGAAAGAGAGAGAGAGAGAGAGAGAGAGAGAGAGAGAGAGAGAGAGAGAAAGCAAUGUAUAUUUUGCGCCUAUUGAGUUUCGACUACUAGAGUAGAUAGCUUCUCUAUUAUAGGAAGCAAAAGGUUGUAGUAACAGGAAGCUAAAAUCUAUUUCAGGGUAUCAAAAGCAGAUACUACAAUUUGAAGCUUCAAAAUUUGCUGCAACAGGAAGUAUUUGGGAGAUUUAAACCAAAAAUUACUUGACAGAAAUUCGUUACGAGGCAAAAUUGUCUUUCAGUGUAAAUCAACAUUGUUGUUUGACCUAGGAAGAGCUUUUAUAGAAGUAUUAUUUUACUACAGUUGUUAAACAAAGCACUAAGAGCGUUUUUCGACAAUAUCCUAUCAACUACUUCCUUUGCAAGUAGAAGCUUGGAGGUUCUGCCUCUGCAAUUACCAAAAGCUCAUUUCGGCUUCCCGGCCAAUCAGAAGCUCCAGAUCUUUUUUGUUUAUCAAAUGCCUACUUCCUCUUUUCAAUAUCAAGCAAAGAAGUAUUUCUAAAGUUAGAAGCUAGGAUGUAAAAAGCACUUGAAUCUAAAUGGAGUUGCGCAAUUGAAACACUCACAUAGGUCAAGAGAACUUUAUCCUGCUGAGAGUGGAGGGGGUGUAAGGACUGAGAUUUUUGCAGUGUAGCUAAACUCUCAGUUGACGAUGUUUUUGUGUGUAAUUUAAUUACAAAAGCACUCGUCAAGUUUCGGGCGAAAACGAGUUAAAACGGAAAUUCUACGCGAUUUCCAAGUUUCACUUAAAGUGAAUAGUAACUCGAUUUUCCGGAGAAGCCGCGGUGAGAAGUUGGCUUCUGGCUCACACCGGACUCUGUUCAUAGCAGUCCAAUAGCUCGUUUCGACCGGGUCAGCUAUUCUGGAACUAAUGAUGCUGACGGAUUUUGAGUUUGACGCACGGAUUUCGAGAAAAUCCAAAAAUACAUGUUUUAUAUGUAUUUUGUGUGUGUUUCCUUCUAUUCGAAGAAGGUUGGAUUUUGUCGUGAAUCCGUGGUCGAUCAAGACGAAACGAAAUCGCAGCUUUGUUGUCUCCGAGGUGCUGAUCGCACCGGUGCAAUCCGUUCGCAAAUCUGACGGACGGAUCUGCGGAGAUCGCGCGUUGAUCGAGGAGAGGUCGGUAGUGGCAAAACGGUAUUUUCGCGAAAGUCGCGAUAUUUUAUGUACCGUUUUGCGUGAGAUCGCACGUGGAGGGGCAUUCAUGCGUUUUAGUCGUACUGUGAGGGAUUCGGAUUGAAAUUUGGAUGUUUGAGGGGCUUUCUUGCAAGUUGUACCAUGUAUAUAUAGUUGUUUUCUAGGGUUUUGAUCCCCUAACCCUAACCCUAGCCAGCCCCAGCUACCCUAGUCACCCCAGCCACCUUCACCCUUCCCCCUGCCCUUGCUGCACCACCCCCGGCCGCCGCCGAGCCACCACUUCUCUUCCUUCCCUCUCUUUCUCUCUCCCUCUCUCCUCUCGGGUUGUGUGAAGGCCCGGGGCUGCGUCUCCUGCAGACCCUCCCCCUGGACUUCACCAUGCUCCGGCAAAUCAUCCCCGCCGACCGCCGCCGUCGCCUGCGCAGCCGCAGCCGCUCCAGCCGCCUGCAGCAGCCCAGGCCGAGCCUGGCCGAGCCGGGUUGCCACGGCCACCAGCGCGCCGCCGCCGCCUGGUAUCCCUCCCGCCGACCUCCCUCGUGCCCGGGCGCCCCUUCCCGCCGGUCGCCGCCGCCCCGGCGCGCAGCCGCCGCCGCCUCGGCCAGCCCGCAGCCGCCCCAGACCCGCUCGGGCUGAGGCGAGCGUGCGACUCCCCCCUGCGCCGCCGCCGCUUGAGGCAGCACCCGAGGCACUCCCCCGACCUCCUGCAGCCCGCCUCCGCCGUCCCGGAGCUCCCCGGCCGCCGCCGUGGCCGCAGCAACUCUUGGAACCCGAGCCCGAUCCCGUGCGGGCUCGGUUUGCUCCGCCGCCGCCGUCGCCGCUUCCAGCCGCCUCCUGAGGUGAGCACCGUGUUCCUCACCUCCCCCGCACCCGACUCUGGGCCCCGCGCGCCCCGUCGUGCCGCCGGAGGCCGGCCGGAGCAGGGUUGCUCCGGCCAAGCCCGAAAUAGGGCUUAUUGAGUGGGUUUCUUGUUCUGGGCUUCCCGAGCUUCCCCGAUCUCCACGGAAGGGAGCACGAUGAUCCUGGCAAGUUGUUGAUCAUCGUGCUCACCUUGGUUUCUGUCGGGAAGGCCCCGUUCCGCUGUUUUGGCGAUGUCGCUCCGUUUCAGCCUUUUCGGCUGCUGUUUCGGGUUUGUGCUUGCUUUUUCGGCGAUCCGAGGCUGUCCUGAUGCCUCCGAAGGUGAGCACGGUGAUCGUCGGUCAGUGCUGAUCACAGUGCUCACCUCACUGUGGAUCAACAGUGUCCGGUUAGUUCUGUUCGGCGCGAUCUUCCCUGACUGCGCGCUAUUCGCUGAACCUUCGGGUUGCUCCCGCGCUUCCCACAGCGAGCCGCUGUGAUCCGGACGUGAGCACGGACUCGGGUACGUCGAGACCUGUCAGUGCGUGUCUCUGCGGACUUUGAAAGCCUCGGUUUGCGUGAACGAGCGCUGAUCGCUCAAAUUACAUAAAAUGACGAAAUUUUAUGUAAUUAGAGGUCUUUUAUGCAAUUGUGCUUUGCGUGGCUACUGUGGCAGUGUGUGGGAGUUUGUUAUGAUCGCUGGACUGAUUGUCCAUGGUCGUUAGCUUUGCGGAAAUCGGUAGGUCGAUUUCGGUGCGUUUUUCGGCGAAAUUCGCCGAAGAAACGCGGUUUCGCGUUCGGAUUCUUUCCGACGGUGUUUGGUUGCUUCGUGUUUGUCGCCAAGCCUUGUUGGCUGUCACCAUCAUCAUUUGUGGGUUCGAUGAUGAUAGGUGAGCCGACGGAGGUUCCGUGUCGAAAUAGACACUUCCGGGAACCCGGAUUCGUACGAUUAUUCGGCGAUGAUCGUAUUGUUGUGUGACCUUGUGUUCGCUGCCAGGCAUCCAAAUUGGAAUGUUUUGGGGCAGCGGGUGACUCGUGGUACGAGUCGGUGAGUUCGGGAACUUAGUGGGUCCGACGGCGUCCCGGUGUGGUUUUCGGACUUCCGGUGGGUUACGGUAAUCGGUUUUGGGAAACCGAUUACAGGGACUUGUGUGGGUUUGUGAGUCUCGUGCUUUGGGUUAGUGGUUUGGAUACUGACUUGGUGGAUCUUCUUAGGUCCGGUAGACUUGUGCGUACCCAGUGUUCCGACGCGACAGUGACAGGUGGUGCUUCGAGCUGGUAGUCGUGAGAGCGUUUCACUUCCUUCUCCUGUUUCUAUUCCUGUGUUUAGACUCUACAUGUCAUUGCUUGUUAUCGUUGGUUAUCGUACCCUUGAUUGCAUUGUAUAGUUGUGAUAGACAUGUGUAGAGCAGUUGCAUUUGUAUUUCAGUAUCUCUGUGGACCUUGGGUCCAGGCAACACAUCGACUCUCUUGUCGUGUGUUUCGAUCUGGUUGAUCGAGUUCGGCGUUGUACGCUCUAGCUUCUAUUUCAGUUUGGCAUUGUACGCCUCGUUGUUGGCUUCGGCCUAGGCACCGGCUUUAGCCGGGUUUGUUUUUGUUGAGCAUACCAGCAUGACUUAGUCACGGCACUUGGGUGGUAUUCAUGACACCGAUCGGUUUGGCCACCAAUCGGAGUGUACUUAUCCGGAUGGGUCGUCCUGCGGGGCGAUGAUCAGGUCGGUGCAGUUAGUGACAGGUAGCGCUUGAGGUCUACGGACCGAUACAGCAGGCACAGAUUGGGUACAGAUUCUGGUUCAGUACAUUGAGGCAUUCUUUGCAUUGUUUUCUAUACAUAGCAGGUUUAUUUAUUGCUUCCUUUAUCUGUUGUAGCUACUGUAGUUUCUAUUUCAUAUCAGCUUACAGUUAUAUACUUGUUUAUCUAUCUCCUUUGGUUUCCGUGAUUACGACUUGCCUUCGUGGCUCUGUCGUACCCACUGGAAACCAUGGUUGCGGUUUCUCACCCCCCUUUCCCCCCCCAGGUUACAGAGACGAGGAGUUGGAUUUUUGGCUCGACGAGAGGACGAUCUAGUUAGACGGCAGUAACGACCGUCACCCUUGGUUAUUCUUUCCCGCACUUAGUAGUUUUCUUAAUAAAUGGUUCAGUUAGAUUUUGAAUGUGGUGAUUUCCGUUAUGCAUGAGAUUGGAGUUUUCGAUCUGUGGUUUUGGUUCUGUGGAGAUUUGGUUUUCUUGUAGUCCUGCAUCGUGGUUUUCUACCCCUCGAGGUAGUCGGUUUUCAAAAUAAGUUUCCGUGUGGGAUAAACAAUUUAAAAAGGUUUUCGAAUGGCUUUUAUAAAUGAUUGAAUUAGAGUUUAAAAACAAAAACUUGCGUGUGGGGAGCACUUUUAAAUAGGAUGUUUGUUGUAUUGUGCAUCGCAUCAUCCAGCGCCUAAGGAGUGCUUAGAGGCAUGCAUCAUUCUAAGGAUUGUUAGCUGUAUGGAAAUGCAUAUCAUGCCUUGGUUGUUGAUUGGUAAAUGUAGGUUGUGGUUGAGAUCCUGUUGUAUCGUUGGUACGCCGUGCAAAUACAAAGGAGACUCUGUCCGAGUGGACAGAGGAACUUUGUAUUUGUGGCGGGUCUGUACGUCGCGUGGGCCAGGUUGAGAAAGAGGUAUUUUUAAAAUAAAAAAAAAAAUGGCACGUUUUUCGCAACUCUGUUUUAAAAAGACUUUUAAAAUCGGCCCCGGGGCGUGACAGGGGGGCAGUGUUCUUCCUCCCUGUGAUGAUCUCCAACAUUACAACACCAAAGCUAAAUACAUCUGACUUGACUGAGAAGUGACCAAGCAUAACAUAUUCUGGUGCCAUAUACCCACUGUUAAAUGGCAUUAUAAUGCUAUUAUUAAUACAUGUCAUGAUUAUCAAUGUGAGGGAAUCAAAAUUAAUUGUAGAAUAAGAAAAUGAGCACAAUAUAAAUGAGUAAACAUAUAAGUUAAUAUAUUCUUGAAAUAUUAUCUACUUAAAACAUAUAUUAUCAUUUGUGCAACAUCUGAAUUUUGUUUGUAAAAAUAUUGCCUCUCUUUUAAAACAUGUCCUAAUACAAAACUGGCUUGUCCCAUGAAUUGGAUUACUCUCAAUUGUAAAAAAAAAGAGUACCAAUGCAAGAAAUUAUACUUUACGCUAGCAUAUAUGAAAUUAGAGUAAAGGUAGAAUACUCCUAGAAGUAAAUGAGAUUGUUUACUUUCAGGCCGUUUUCAGCAAUUGAGCAUCAAAAUCGAUGAUCGACAUUAUUAAAUACCAACUUUACUAUUUGAACUUCGUAAAACAUGAGUUUCACAAUUUUAUGGUAUCAAAUUUAUCUUAUAUUAAUCAUUAUAAGUUGUCAAAUUUGUAACUAUUUAGAAUAUAGGCAAAUGAUGUCAACAAAUUAUAAAAUUUAAAUUUUAGAAAGUUCAAAUAGCCUUGACCAUUUCUAAUGUUGUGGGUUGUCGAUUUAGAGAUCCCCUCUCCAAAAAAAAUGAUGUAAAAGUGAAUGACGUUGUUUACUUCUAGAAGUAUUCUAGCUUCGCUCAUGGAAUUACAUGUUUCACUGGAGUGUAAAUGUGAAAAAAUUAGAUUACUUCGCUAAGGGCCUGUUUGGUUCCUUGGAAAAUGGUAGAAAACUAUUUUCUUAAAGAAAGAAAAAUUUGUGGAAAAGAAUUUUUUUUAGUUUCUAUUGUUUGGUUCGAUGCAAAAAAAAAAAAAAUAGUUUUCAUGUAUGCAGGUUUGGUUGGUAAGAAAAAAAAGGAAAAACAGUUUUUCAUUUAUUUUUGACUUGUUUGGUUAGUUGAAAAUCUUGGUAUAUAAACACCUUCUACAAAAGGAGUUGAGAUUACCAACCUUUUAAAAUUUAUUAACAUAAUACUCAUAAACACUUUACAAUAUAAAUUAGAAAUAAUUAACUAAAAAUAAAUUUUAACUAUAUUUUCGUAUUAGACAGUAUAAUUUGACAAAAGAGAUGGAAAUAAUGAAAAUGACGGAUAAGAGAUGGAGAUGGUUCUUCUGUAUGUAUGGGUGUGUGUGUAUAUGUCUAUAUAUAUAGUUUGGAAAUAUAGAAAUAAGAGUAAUGCUUCUAUACUUUUUUUUUGUUACCGUUUAUUCAUGCGUAUUCAACGGCUCAGAUUUAUUUUUUUAAAAUUGUGAACUGCAAUAGUAGGUCACUUUGGGAGAGGUACCGGUAACCGGUACCUCAAAAAAGGAUAUUUUUGUCUUUUAAUACAUGGGCAAUUUAGUCAUUUUACAUCUACUAUAUUUUUAAAAUUUUUAUUUUUUCUUUGUUUCCUUUUUCUCUCUCUAUCUUUCCUUUCAUAAUUUGGCAUUUUAUAUAAGGAAAUUUCAAAUGAUUUGACAAUAUGAUCAUUGAAUUUAAACUUUAAAUAGUAAUAUGAAAUUCCUCUAAUUUAAAUUUCACUUUUAAAUUUAAAAUUUAAUAUUAUAUUCAAAUUUAUAUAAAAAUUUAAGUUUUAUAUAAAUACUUUGAAAUAUGGUAAACAGAAAUAAUUGUUUGAAUUCUAGUCUUCUGGUUUAGGUUUGGUUUUGGGUUUCGAAAAAUUGGUCAGUUUUGAAUUUGGAUAUGGAUUUUUGAAAUCCGUCGAGUUCGGAAAUAAGUUUUGUGAUUGUUAGUCAGAUUCGAAUUCAAAUUCCUAACUAUUUUUUUUCUCACCAAUAAUUCUAAUCUUUUUAAUUUAUAUGUUUAAAAUUAUAUUUAAAAUAUUUAUUAGCUCUAACAGUUAAAUUAUCAUUCUGUUUAAAAUAUUUAUUAUCUUUACCGGUUCCAAAUUGUUCUUAAUGUUAUUCGGUUCAAUAGGUUAAAAUCAGAUUCUUGAUAGAAUAGGUCAAAGUCUGAUCAGUCAAAUCAAUCGGUUCAAUCUAGUUUUUAAAUCAUUGAAUUUAAAAUUUAAAUAGUAAUAUGAAAUUCCUCUAGAGAAAUCUAGUUGUAGAAAUCUUACUCUCUAAGUUUUUUAUGCAUUACGUUUUAAACUGGUGCGAAUAAACUGUAUUUUAAAUCUUGGUAGAAAUUUAGUUUUUAAAUAGUAAUAUGAAAUUCCUCUAAUUUAAAUUUCACUUUUAAAUUUUAAGUAUUUAAUUUUUAAAAUUUAAAUUCAUCGUAUUUAGAAAUAAAACUAUUUCUAAAAUUUCUAUAAUUUAAAUUAAUGCAUAAUUUGAGAAACACUAAAACAUUUAAAGUAGAUUCCUAAAUUAAUGCCUAAUAAUUGUAUAAAUUUGGUUAAUCAAUUAAUUUCCUAAAUUAGUGCUAAUUAAUGCAUAAAUUUAGGACCUCAAUUAAAAGUUUCUUUAAAUAUUGUAUUAUUUAAUUACCAAACUAACCUUGAAUAAAAUAAUCCUUUUACCUGCUAAGUAUUAAAGUUACAUUUUUACCCUCUAUUAAUCAACGGUUAAGAUCUUUUUUUAUUUUAUUUUAAAAAAAGUACUGAAUCAUUUCUCUAGAAAUAAAGAUAGGAGACAGUGAAAAUGGACCGGUGAUAAACAUACACCAAUAUAUUAGAAUUUUUUUUCUUUUUUACUCCUCAAAACGUUUGUGAGAAAAAAAAUUUCGUUGUAAUAUCCCGGGUGUUUAGCUGUCUGAGUGAUUUUGGCAUCUGGGGCUUAUCGACACGUCUGGUGGGUGUCGAGACAAGUCGGAGUCGUCUUGGCACGAAAUGGACGCAAAACGGACUCAGCGCGGUGCGAGAGUGGAGUUCUAAUACUGAAAUUUGCAAAGUGCAGGAUUUCAGUGUUGAGUACCGGUACCUGGGAAGGAGUACCGGUACCCCAGUGAGAUUGUAGAACUGGAUGCUUUUGGGUUUGCGCAUGUCUGAUGCUGAGUACCGAUGCCUGUUGUGGAGUACCGGUAUCGAGCUCGGGUACCGGUACUGCAUUAGGCUGGUACCGGUACCCAGCGAGCGAGACUGCGGAUUGAGGGGCCGAGUACCGGUAUUUAAGCCGAGUACCGGUACUCCAGGUGUAAAAGUGAGUUGGUAAGGAGUAUUUUGGUCCUUUUGAUGUGUCGUUCAUCCCAACCUAACCCAGCCUAUAUAUUUACGCGUAGGGAGUUUUAGAGAACAGGAUACUCCUUCUUUUCCUUCUCUCUCUAGCCGGUGUACGCCGUGUAUUGGGGAGGUCGAGGUUCAAGCUCGUUCGGAUUUGUCGUUUCUUCGGAGGACCGUUUGUGCGCGUGGGUGUCUUGGUGGAGUUAUUGGAGGUCGAGCGAGCGGACGGGAUUCCUCCUAUCAACUUCUUGCCGAUGUUGGAUGAGCGCUCGAGGUGGGUUAAAUGUUUGCCGAAAUCGUCGGAUUGCUUUCUAAGUCCUAAAAUUGUCAGCAUGUAUUAUUGGCUUUGUUCACCCUGUUAGUAGCUCGAAUUCAUCGAUUUGCAUGUUUGUUUUAUAAAAUCUGAAUUUGGAGCAUAAGCUAGUGAAUUUAGAUGUAAUUAUAAAUGUUGAACUGAGAUUUGACUUAGGAGAAAACUCAUUAAACCUACAAUGCUAUUUUUUGCAAAGUUACCAGAUUUAGCUUUAGGAGCUGUUGUUCUUUUGUAUCCCCGCUGUUAGUGCGUAUUGGAUACUCAGAUUAAUGUAGGGUGAGUUUACGCUCAUGCUUGGAGGCCGAGCUCGUUUUGCAGUAGUGUGUAGAUUGUUCCGUACUACGGGGGCCGUCGUGGUUGACGAUGGAUCCAGAUUUGCAUCAAAUUGGGCCUAGGGCAUCUGAGCUUUGGUUGUUAAACCAGUUAGACCCAUUUGCAUUGACUAUAGUCUGUGAGAGCCUGAUUGAGCUCGGCAGAGACACGCUUGCAUACUCGGUUGGGUCGCGCCCACGAGUGCCGCUCCGGAGUGAGGCUUUGACUUGCGUUGAUUUCGCAACCGUCCUGUUUUGACCAUUUUCUUGAACGGCCAUUCCCGUGGGUGGUGUACGGUGUAGCUUGGUUACAGGCAGGGUGGGUCCGUUUGGGUAGCCCGUAUGAGAUUGGGUCAGUGGUAGCUAAUGAUGCAUGUUUAUGUCUGCAGUUAGUUGGUUUUGGUAGCGAUAGUGUAGAGGCAUAUAGUUGUAGAGUUUUUUCAUCUUUCCUUAUUAUCUUGUGUAUACAUUACUGUAGAGUUAGUGGGUGGGCCGUUGAGGUCGAUGACGGUACCCACUGAGGACUACUCUGUUUUGUAGUAGUUCUCACAUCCAGUUGUUGACAACUUUUGCAGAGCCUUCGUCUGCGGCUGCUGCUGUUGUGGAUUCUGACCGAGGCAAGGGAGUCUCGAGCUAGAGCCGCCCCUUCCCUGGUCUUUUGCUAGAGGAGUACCCGUCAGAGGUAGUUUUUUGGUUUUUUUUUAUGUACAUACUGUUAUGCUUGUGAUACUCGCUGGAGUGAGGUGUUAUGGUAGACUUUUGUACGUACAGUGAACCCUUUCUGAUUUAUAUAUAUUUUAGUUCUAGUAGCUCUAUACACUUUGGUUGUAGCUCCUAUUCGUGUGCAGGUACAGCUAUCGCUUCGUAUACAUGAGAAAUUUCUAUGUAUACGGCGGGUCUGUUGGCGUACCCGGAAAAAUGUGAAAAUCCGGGGUGUGACAUUCGUUGUCCUAAAAAAAUUGAAAAACAAAAAGAGAAUUUUGCCAUGAAAUAUGGAAAAUAAUUUUUCAAAAAAAUUAAUUUUCUUGCGAACCAAACAGAAGGAAUGUAAGGACUGAGAUUUUUACAGUGCAACUAAACUCUUUGUUGAUGAUGUUUAUGUGUGUAAUUUAAUUACAUAAGCACUCGUCAAGUUUCAGGAGAAAAUGAGCUAAAACAGAGAAGUUACGCGAUUAUUAGUUUUCACUUAAGUGAAUAGUAACUCCAGUUUUUCGGUGAAGCCACCGAGUAGAGUUGGCUUUCCACGCGUAUCGGACUCCGUUCAUAGCGAUCCAAUAGCUCGUUUCGACCGGUUUAGCUAUUCUGGAACCAAUGGCGCUGUCGGAUUUUGAGUUUGACGCACGGAUUUCGAGAAAAUCCAAAAAUAUAUUUUUAUAUGUAUUUAGGUGUUAUUUCUUAUGUUGGAAAGAAGAUUGGAUUGUGUUGUGAAUCCAUGGUUGAUCGAGGUGAAGCGAAAUCACAGCUUUGUUUUCUCCGUCGUGCUGAACGCGAUGGCGCUGUCGGAUCGAAAAUCCGAUGGACGGAUUUUCGAGAAACGCGAAAUGUUCGCUAAGGGGUCGAGAGUGGAAAAUCGGGAAAUUCGCAAAAGUCUUAAUAUUUUAUGUACCGUUUCACGUGAGAUCGCACGUGGAGGGGUAUCCGUGCACUUUACUCGUGCUAUGAGGGACUCUUUAUGAAAUGUUGAGUUUUGAGGGACUUUUCUGCAAAUUGGAGCUUCGUAUUUAAGCUUUUCACGUUGGAACCCUAACCCUAGCCCUAGCCGCAUCACCCUAACCGACCUAACCGCCUCUCCUCCCUUCCCUGAGUGCACGGCUUGCGCCCCAGCCGCCGGCGCACACUGCCGGUCGCCGGAGAAGGAGGUUCCUUCUCCCUGUAGCUCUCUCUUCCAUCCAUCUCCCUCUAUCUCUCUUUCUCUCGGGUUGGAGCCCAGGCUGAGGCUACAGGGCCUUCACCGGCGUCGCCCUGUGCCUCGCCAACCUCCCCCGCCGACCGCCGCCGUCGCCGUGCGCCGCCGCUGCCGCUGCUGCCGCCCAGGCCACAAGCUGCCAGCCUGGGCCGAGCCUAGGCCGAGAUCUGUUCGCGACCUCCCUCCCGCGUCGCCGCUGCCUGUAACCUCUCCCGCCGACGUCCACGGAGCCCCGGCAUCCCUCCCCGCCGGCCGCCGCCGCCUCUGCGGGCCGCCGCCGCCGCGGCCAGCCGCAGCCGCUCCAGAUCCGUUCGGGCCGAGGCGAACUCGCGACGCCCUCCCUGCGUCGCCGCCGCGUGGGACCACACCCAAGGUAUCCCUCCGGCCUCAGGCAACCUUCUGCCGCCGUCCUGGAGCUCCGCGGCCGCCGCCGUGCCCGCCAUUGCCCGCGGAACCCGAGCUGAGCCUGUGCGGGCUUGCCUUGCUCCGCCAUCGCCGCCGCCGCUCUCCGUCGUCACCUGAGGUGAGCGCCAUGCUCCUUCCCUCCCCCGCACCCAAUCCUGGCCACCGCGCGCGCCGCCGUGCCGCCGGAAGCCGGCCGGAGCAAGCUUGCUCCGGCCAAGCCCGAAAUAGGGUUGUUUCUGGGAUGUUUACUGUUACGAGCUUCCCGAGCCUCCCCGAUCUCUACGGAAGGGAGCACGAUGAUCCUGGCAAGUUUCUGAUCAUCGUGCUCACCUUGGUUUCUGUCGGGAAGGCCCCGUUUCGCUGUUUUUGCGGUGUCGACCCUGUAGAGCCUUUUUGGCUGUUGUUCUGUGUUUGUGCGUGCUUUUCCGGCGAUCCGAGGCUGUCCUGAUGCCUCCGGAGGUGAGCACGGUGAUCUUUGGUCAGUGCUGAUCACAGUGCUCACCUCAUUUAGGGUCUGCGAGCGUCGGAUGUGUUAAUUUGAAGCAUUUUAGUUUCAGUGCGCAGUUUUUCGUUGAACUUCGUGUCGCUUGUACGCGUCCUACAGUGGCCGGAAUUGCUCCGAAAGGUGAGCACGGCCUCCGGCACUCCGAGACCUGUCAGUAGGUGUCUCGGUUUGGCUGAAUGACUCCUAGUUGUGUAGACGGACCAUAAAAGCGCCGAAAUCGCAUGAAAUAAUGCGAUUUCGGGUAUUCGGAAGGGCUUUUAUGCAACUUUGAUUCGUUGUGGCUACUGUUGGAAGCAUUUGCGGGUAGUGGGUACCUCUGGACUGAUUGUCCAAGGCCCCCAAGUCCUUGCGGAAAUCGAAAAGUGAUUUCCGGAGCGUUUUUCGGCGAAAUCCGCCGAUAGAACGCGGUUUCGGUUCGGAAUUCUUCCGACGGUUCCUCGUGAGCAUUUCUUGAGUUGCUGAGCCGUGUUGGCUGGUCACUCACGUCAUUUCAGGGGUUUGGAAAUGACGGGUGAGCGACGGUGGGUUCCCUUGUCGAAAUAGACACUCUCGGGAACCCGGAUCCGAACGAUUAUCCGACGAUAAUUGUUUGGAGGCGAGAUUUUGGGAUUGCUGCCAAGACAUCUUAGUUGAUGUGUUUUGUGGCAGCGGGUGACUCAUAUCAUGAGUCGGUGCGUUCCGGGACAUUUUAGUGGUCCCGACGGAGUCCCGGUGCGAUUUUCGGGACUUCCGGCGAGUUACGGUAAUCGGUAUUGGGAAACCGAUCUCCGUGGGAUUGCUUAUGGGUUAUGCUUUUAGGGUUUCUUAGUUGUGGGUUAGACACUAACCCAGUGGACCCUCCUUAGGUCCGGUUGACAUUCUUCUGCAGUCAGGAGACAGGCGCGACAUUUGUACAGGUGGGUACUUCGAUCCGACGUCGGUACAGUGGUGCACGCUCGGUGAUGGUUUCUUACCUUUGCUCUUUCGUUAUUAUCUAGCAUAUAUAUAUCUUGAUAUAUAGUGUUGAGCCUAGCACCAUGUUGUUUAGUUACACUCUACUCGGUUGUUCUCUUUAUAUCAUGAGUAGGAGUAGAGUAGUUAUACCAUAUUUCUUUAUUGCUCUACUUAGCUAUUCUGCAUAUCCUGUAUCAUGUUUAGAGUAGAGCGGUUUCGUGAUUUUAUGUGAAAUCGGUGACCUAGUUGAUUCGUUCUUGUAUCUUAUAUCUGUAUAUAGUCGGUUUGUUCCUUGACUCUUGUUGUUUGAUGACCUUUGAGGUCGGUGUACCCUGAGGGGUAGGAUUGUCGACUAGUGGCCGACGGUAGUUCUAGAUCAUAUACUCAGAUGACUUGUUGACCGAUUCUUGCAUAUAUACAGUAGUUGACUCAUUGAUCAGUAUCUACAUACUGUGGGUAGGAUGUUGAGUUGUUCCAUCCCAGUUGACUUGAUUAGUCAGUAUUUGCAUAUGUUUGAGAGGAUGUCGAUGUUGUCCCAUCCUAGUUGACCUGAGUGGUCGGUUCUUGUGCUUCUUUACAGUUGAUGACCUAUGCGGUCGAUAGGCCCUGGGGGGCAGGAUUGUCGGCUGGUUGCCGACGGUUGAUCAUUGACCAUAUUGCAUUGAUCGCCCGAUACUCGUCGCAUUUCACGAACACUGGCGGUCUGAUCCACCGCAAGGAGUGUUCUUUUCCGGAAAAGUGGUUGAAUGGUGACAACCCGUGAGCCCUAGAGGGGUUAUAUGCAUGUUAGAGCGGCAGUGGUACUGUCGGGAGGUGUUGCGGUGCGGACCUCCAGGGCAUUGGCUUGAGGUCUGCGGUGCUGACCAAGAGAGCAUUGGUUUCAGAUUGGGUACUUUUGGACUGAUUGUCCCAUUGACGCAUAUGUUUAUAGUAGCAGUCGUUGCAUGCAUACUUACAGAUCUUACUUUAUAGUUGUCUUGCUACUAUAGUAGAUAUUCAUGUAUGCUUUCUGUUCCAGUUACAGUAGCGGUAGCCGUUUAUUCAGUAUAGUUCUUACUUCCUUUCAGUUUAUCGCUAUUGUAUAUCUGCUCAUUACCUUGUUUAUUUCCACUGACCCAUGUUGUUGUAUAGUUCUUCCUGAUCCGGUGAGUACUCCUCGCCUUCUUCGGCUUGCGGUACCCACUGGGAGGGGAGACAUGUUUACAUGUUCUCACCUCCCCCACCAUUUUUCAGGUAUCGCGGGCGUUGAGUAGUGGGACGAGACGUGAGGUACGUGUGUAGCGGUCGAUAGAGCUUCCGACCCAGGUUAUUUCGAUUUAGCUAUUACCCUUUUUAUUUCUGUGGAUAUAUAUAGCUUAGUCGGUUUACAUGGUUCAGUUUUGUUUUAUUAUUUGAAUAUCUGAGUUUUCAGUUGGUUUUGGAAUGUAAUAAAGGAAUUGUGUUUUCUUGAAAUAAAAGGUUUUCUACCCCUCGUGGUAGCGUUUCUUAAAGAAUAAAGGUUUCCGUGUAGGGAACAGUUUUCAAAAGAAUUUUCGUGAAUUUCUAUUUAAACACUGAAUGUAAAACUGUGAUGUGAAUGGUGAAUGUAUGGAUGUAUAGUUAUCUUUAUAUUCAUUUGGUUGUGGUUGUUUUCUGGCUAUACUCUUGUACUUGAUCGACGCCGUGCAAAUACAGGGGAGACUCUGUCCGUGUGAACAGUGGAUUCCCUAUAUUUGUGGCGGAUCUGGCAUACCCUGGGGUCAGGUUUGCAAAAAAAAAAAAAAAAAAAAAAAAAAUUUCGCUGUGUUUUUAACCUAAAGGGACCCCGGGGCGUGACAGAUUAAAGUGGUAUCAGAGCGAGGUUACAACCACAACACCAUUCACAGGUUGUUUUGAAAAGUAAAGGAACUGAACCAAAAUAAACUGAACCAUUGGUUAGGUUGACUCUUAGGAAGACCUACGGUGUAUAGGCACGUGAGUGCGGGGUUUGGACUUGUGUCCUGGGUUGCAUUCGAGUUGGGUAAACUCGAAGUGCAUGGUAUUCCUGUAUGUGUUACGGUUCGCACAACUGGUGUCUAAGUCGGGAGUAGUGGCGGUGUACUUUUUCGGACAUCGAGUGGCGGGGCGACGUUCCCCAGGUGUUGCCACCCCUGUCAGAUGGGCCUUGAAGGGCCAGGUGAUCUUCGGGCCUAGGCAAGUAUCUUAACUGCCGACGCCCGGGCCACUCUUCCUUCUUAGGACGCGAGAGCUAUUGCGAGUGUCUCUACGGAGACGGCAAUAUGACCUGUUAGGGUCGCGACUUCAGUGGGGGCUACUAGGGUGUAGCCCAGGGUUUGGAUAGCGGUCGUUUAGGCGACUGUAUUGUUAGUGUUGCUUCCACAGAUCUUUGGGUAGGGUUGUGAUGCCUACCUAUCCUCCUUGAUUGCUGAUUGGAAUCAGCGGUUCGAAUCUUUCGACCUUUACCUCGUUCAUUCUUCCUACCAGAGUCAUAUUGACACAGUUUUAGUGUCAGGUCCCUGUUGGUACAUACAUCGUAUGCGAUUGUUCUAACACCUAAAUUGGUGUCAGGGGAUAGUCGAUGGUUAGUAGGAUCCAUCUUGAUUCGAGAGACUCAAGAUUAUUGUCGGAAUUCUUGGAGCUUUGAUUAUAGUUCGGUUGAGGUGCGAAAAUCUGUUAGAGAAACCAUUUCCUAUCGCCUCAGUUUGUGUAGUUGGCGGCUUAGUGUCGCUAGUAGCUUUCGAAUGUUGAAAGCUUUACGACUCCCAGUGAGUCGGUUUAUAGUCGAUCUGUUUUCGAAUGUCGACUUAUAUAGUUGAUGUUUCGAUAGUAUUGGUUGUGAACUUGUGGUUCAGUGAUGAGGUAUCAAGUGGCUUGAUACUUCGAUGUGUCGCGCUUCCAACUCAUUGUUGGUAGUGAAUCUUCGGAUAUUUCGCUUUUCUUUUGAUAAGUACAUUGGCUGCAGACAAUGUACUGUCAAAAGUUAGGAUGAAAUACCCAUUUCCGGUGUGGAACUUUUGGAUUGGGUUAAUAUUCGCUCUAGCUUGUCUUAGGAGAAGCUUAAGUGAUGACCAUCUUUGACCAUGUAGCGAGCCUUAGAUUAUUCCCUGGCAGGUUUUGCGCAGUUGACUUAUCGUCACUUCUGAUGGUUUUUACUUUGGUCCGAGUCUAGGUGAUCGUUGGUCCUAUUGUUGUGCCUUCCACAGCUAAGAGUUUCUUGGGUAGUAGUCUCGGUUUGUUGUCGUGAGGUUCGAAAUCAGUGAUUGAGUGACUUGAGCCUAGUGGUUGGUCCUUGAUUGUCACCGUAUGUGAUAGCGUAUAAGGUUUGCGACUUGGCCUAGCGUGCAAACCUUGGGUUAGCAUGCUUGUCCGGUCAUUUGGUGACAGGUGCGCUUGGGUCUCAAUGAGACAAGUAAUCGGGUGUUGCUGGGGACAUCGAUCGCUAGGGUCCAUGGUAGGACGACAACGACAGGGUCUUGUGGAGACCAGUGCUGAGCAUUCACCGAUGGUUAGUAUCGCAGUUGCGAUUAGCGACCUGUGCAUCAAGUGAUGGACUUGCGAAGAGCUUUUGGUGGUCUGUUCGUACCGGAUUAAGUUUGAGGGGACAAAAUUGUCUAGCUCAAUUGGUAUUGUCAGUUGGAUCUUUUAGGCAGAUGUAAAGUGAGGUCUUGAACCUAGGGCUAUAGAUUGUGGCAGGUGACCUUUCGUUGAUGAGAUUUUGGCAGUUUGUGUGGUUACUGCUGGAGACUGUGGUCUCUAAGGUGAGAGUUUUGACUCAGGUCUUAGAACAACGUUUCGUUUUCGCUCUUGGUGAGCAGGUUGACGUUGUUGGAUAGUCGGAGUUUUUCGUUUCAGUCUACGUAAAUAGACUCUAGAUUAAAGUGGUUGUUUCGUGACUUUUCUACGUGAACUUGCGACGUAGUCGAAUCGGUUACGGCUAUGCGGACCAAGGUAGAACGGACCUAAAUUUCUGAAUGUUGAUUAAUUAUCUCAGAAUUGGCAAAUUGGAUCGGAAUAAUCCUAGUCGCGGGACUGUCUUUGUCCGCAGGUAUAGAGGUAGUGUUGAUUCCCGGUGAGUUUGGUCGUAGAUUUUGGUUGGUACCGUUUUCCCGUCGAUUUGUCCAGAGUGGACGCAGUCCCAUUUUUUUUCCUCACUUACGGAAGUUGAUAUAUCCAGACUGUAAUUGACGGUACUCAAGAGUGAUAUUGACAGUGGUGGAGAGUAUAUCCGAAAUCUCGAUUUCGGUGGUAUGCUGGUCUAAGUUUCGGGACGAAAACUUUCUUUUUAAGAGGGGGGAUAAUGUUAAGGACUGAGAUUUUUACAGUGCCAACUAAACCUCUGUUGAUUUGAUGUUUAUGUGUGUACAUUUAAUUACAUAGCACUGCGUCAAGUUUCAGAGAAAAAGGAGUAAAACACGAGGAAGUUACGCGAUUAUUAGUUUUCACUUAGUGAAUGUAACUCAGUUUUUUCGGUGAAUCAGGUAGAAGUAGAGUGGCUAUUCACGCGUAAUACGGACUCGUUCAUAGCAUUCCAAUGCGCGUUCGAACCGUUCAGCUAUUCUUCGAACAAUGGCCUGUCGGAUUUUAGUUUGGUAACGCACGAUUCGAGAAAAUCCAAAAUACAUGUUUUAUAUGUAUUUAGUGUUAUUUCUUAUGAUUGGAAAUAGAAGAUUGAUUGUGUCGCUGAUCCGUGGUUGAAUCGAGGGUGAAGCGAAUCACAGCUUUGUUGUCUCCGUCUGUGGCUGAAGCCGAUGGCUGUUCGUUGACUCGGAAAAUCCGAUGGGACGGUUUCAAGAAACGCGCAAAUAUGUUCGCUAAGGGUUCGAGAGUGGAAAUAUCGGGAAAUUCGGCAAAAGGUCUUAAUAUCUUUAUGUCAGUUUCAACGUGAGAUCGCACGUGGAGGGGUUCGCUGCACUUUAUCGUCUAUGAGGGUCGGAAUGAAAUGUUGAGUUUAGAGCGAAUUUCUGCAAAUGGAGGCUUCGUAUUUAAGCUUUUCAUUCUUGGACCCUAACCCUAGCUAGCCCAUCACCUAACGCAGACUAACGCCUCUCCUCCUUUCCUGGAUGCCCGGCUUGUGCCCCAGCCGCCGGCGCACAUUGCGCGUCGCCGGAGCAAGAGGUUUCCUUCUCCUGGAGCUGUAGCUCUCUGCUUCCAUCAUCUCCCUCUAUCUCUCGCUUCUCUCGGGUUGGAGCCCAAGCUGAGGCUACAGGGCCUGCACCGGCGUCGCCUGUGCCCGGCACAACUCUCCCGCCGACCGCCGCCGUGCCGUGGCGCCGCUGCCUUGAUGCGCCAGCCAACAGCUGCCAGCCUGGGCCGAACUUUAGGCGAGAUAUGUUCGCGACCUCCUCCCGCAGUCGACGGCUGCCUGUACUCUCGCGACGUCACGCGUAGCACCCGGCAUCCCUCCCGUACGGCCGCGCCGCCUCUGCUGCCGCCGCCGGGCCAGCGGCCGCAGGAGCCGCCCCUCAGACCGUAUCGUGGCGGGCGAAAUCGCCGCCAUCCCUGCGUCGCCGCGCGUGGGCCAACCCGAGGUAUCUCCGGCUCAGGCAAUCUUCUGUCGGUCUGGAGCUCCGCGGCGCGGCCGUGCCGCAUGCCCGCGGAACCCUGAGCCUGAGCUGUGCGGGUUGCUUGCUCCUGCCAUCGCCGCCGCCUCUCCGUUCACCUGAGGUUGAGCCGCCAUGCUCCUUUCCCUCCCGCACCCAAUCUGGGCCACGCGCGCGUGCUUGCGGGAAGCCUGCCGGAGCAAGUUGUCGGCCAAGCCGAAAUAGGGUUGUUCUAGUUUAGAUGUUUACUGUUAUGAGCUUUCCCGAGCCUCCCCCGAUCUUACGGAAGGAGAGAUGAUCCGGCAAGUUUAUGAUCAUCGGUUGCUCACUUGGUUUUUCUGUCGGAAGCCCCGUUUCGUGCUUUUUGCCGGUGUCGACCCUGUAGAGCUUUUUGGCUGUUGUUCUGUGUUUGGUGCGUGUUUUCCGGCAAUCGAAGCUGUCCUGGAUGCUCCGGAGGUGAGCACGGUGAUUUGGUCAGUGCGUCAUAAGUUGCUCACUCAUUUUAGGGUCUCGCGGCGUGAUGUGUUAAUUUAGCAUUUUAGUCUUUCAGUGCGCAGUUUUUCGUUGAACUUCGAUGUCGCUUGUAACGGUCCUACAGUGCGCGGAAUUGAUCGAAAGGUGGAGCACGGCCUCCGGGCACUACCGACCUGUCAGUAGGUUGUCUCUGUUUGGACUGAAUGAUGCUAGUGUAGUAGAUACGGACCAUAACGCGCCGAAAUCGAUUGAAAUAAUGCGUUUCGGUCGUAUUCGGACAGGGACUUUUUAUGCAACUUUGAUUCUUGUGGUACUGUGGAAGCUUUGCGGGUAGUGGGUACCUCUGACUGUUUGUCCAGGGCCCACAGUCGCUUGCCGGAAUCGAAAGUGGAUUUUCCGGAGCGUUUUUCGUAGCGAAUCCCGAUGUAGAACGCGUUUCGGUUUCGGAAUUCUUCCGACGGUUCUCUAAGUGAGCUUUCUUUGAGUCGCUGGCCUUGUUGGCUGGUCACUCAUGUCAUUUCAGGGGUUGGAAAUGACGGCUAUUCUAAUACCGGCCGAUGUGAGCUGACGGUGGUUCGGUGUCGAAAAUAGACCUCUCGCGGAACCGGAUCGACGAUUAUCGACCGAUAAUUGUUUGGAGGCGAGAUUUUAGGAUUGCUGCAAGACAUCUUAGUUGAGUGUUUUGUGGCAGUGGAGUGACUCUAUCAUGAAGUCGGUGCUUCGGGACAUUAACUUUAGUUGGUUCCGACGGAGUCCCUGUGCCGAUUUUCUGGAUUCGGCGGUUACGCGGUAAAUCGGUUAUUGAGGAAACGAUCUUCCGUGGAUUGCUUAUGGAUUAUGCUUUUAGUUGUUUUACUUAGUUGUUGGGUUAAGCACUACCCAGUGGACCUGCUUAGGUACGGUUUACUUCUUUGCAGUCAGGAGACAUGGCGCCGACAUUUGUUACAGGUGAGUACUUCGGAUCACGUCCGGGUCCUACAGGUGGUGCACGCUCGGGUAUGCGUUUCUUCCUUUAUUGCUCUUUCUGUAUAUUAUCUAGCAAUUAUAUAUCUUGAUUAUAGGUAGCUAGCCACAUGUUGUUUCAGUUACACUAUUCGGUUGUUGCUCUUAUAUAUCAUGGAGUUAGGAAGUAGCAGUAGUCUACCAUAUUUCUUUAUUGCGUACUUAGAUAUUCUGCAUAUCUUGUAUUAUGUUAGAGAUAGAGCGGUUUCGUGCUUUAUGUGAAAUCGGUGAGCUAGUUGUUUUUUUGUAUAUAGUAUAUCUGUAUAUAGUCGGUUUGUUCCUUGACUCUUGUUGUGUUGAUAACUUUGAGCGAGUGUACCUGAUGGGAUCUUAGAUUGUCGACUAGUGGCCGACGGUAGUUUUAGAUCAUAUACUCAGAUGACUUGUUGACCGAUUUUGCAUAUAUACAGUAGUUGAGCUCAUUGAUCAGUAAUUACUCUGUGGUAGGAUGUUGAGUUGUUCCAUCCCAGUUGACUUGAUUAGUAGUAUUUGCUUAUGUUUAGAGAGGAUGUCGAUGUUGUCCCAUCUCAGUUGACCUGAGUGGUCGUUCUUUGCUUUCUUACAGUUGAUGACCUAUGCGCGCUCGAUAGGCCCUGGGGGCAGGAUUGUCGGCUGGUUUGGCGACGGUUGAUCAUUGACCAUAUUGCAUUGAUCGCUCCGAUACUCGUCGCAUUUCACGAACACCUGGCGUCUGACUCACCGCAAGGAGUGUUCUUUUUCGAAAGUGGUUGAAUUGUGACAACCGUGAGCCCCCUAAGGGGUUUAUGCAUGUUUAGCAGGGACGUGUAUUGUAGGAUGUUGCGGUGCGGACCUCAGGGCAUUGGCUUGAGGUCUGCGUGCUGACAAAGAGACAUUGGUUUCAGAUUGCGUACUUUUGGAUGAUUGUCCAUUGACGCAUUAUGUCUAUUGUAGCCGGUGCUUGCAUGAUACUUACAGAUCUUACCUUAUAGUUGUCUUGCUAUAUAGUAGAUAUUCAUGUAUUUUAUGUUCUAGUUACAGUGAGGUAGCGUUUAUUUCAGGUUAGUUGUUACUUCCCUUCAGUUUAUCGCUAUUGUUAUCUGUCUUACCUUGUUUAUUUCCACUGACCGUGUUGUUGUAUAGUUCUUCUCUGAUCCGGGAGUACUCCUCGCCUUCUUCGGUUGCGGUACCACUGGGAGGGGAGACAUGUUUACAUGUUCUCACCCUCCCCCAUUUUUCAGGUACGCGGGCGUUGUGUAGGCGGACGAGACUGAGAGUACGUUGUAGCGGUUCAAUAGAGCUUCCGACCCUAGGUUAUUUCGAUUUAGCUAUUAUCCUUUUUAUUUUUGUGGAUUAUAUAGCUUAGUCGGUUUACAUGUGUCAGUUUUGUUUUAUUAUUUUGAACAUCUGAUUUUUCAGUUGUGUUUGCGAAAUGUAUAAGGAAUUGUGUUUUUUUGAAAUAAGGUUUUCUACCCCUCGUGGUAGCGUUUCUUAAAGAAUAAAGGUUUCCGUGUAGGGAACAGUUUUCAAAAGAAUUUUCGUGAAUUUCUAUUUAAACACUGAAUGUAAAACUGUGAUGUGAAUGGUGAAUGUAUGGAUGUAUAGUUAUCUUUAUAUUCAUUUGGUUGUGGUUGUUUCCUGGCUAUACUCUUGUACUUGUGCGACGCCGUGCAAAUACAGGGGAGACUCUGUCCGUGUGAACAGUGGAUUCCCUGUAUUUGUGGCGGAUCUGGCAUACCCUGGGGUCAGGUUUGCAAAAAAAAAAAAAAAAAAAAAAAAAAAUUUCGCUGUGUUUUUAACCUAAAGGGACCCCGGGGCGUGACAAGGAACAAAUUUUUUCAAUCUGAAAAAUUUUUUCUGGCAUAUUUUCUAAGGAAUCAAACAGGUCCUACAUAUCCCUAAAUAUGUAAAAUGUGAAAAGCUUGAAAAAAAAAUUACAAUGAUGGCAAAAUGGAAAAAGAUAUUUACUUACAGUGUCCCAACAACUUGAGCGGUGAUUGCCCGAGUUUGGUCCUCUCCAACAAGCCUAGCCAGACCGAAGUCGGAAAUUUUAGGAUUCAUGCCAGCAUCUAAUAAAAUGUUGCUUGCCUUCAAAUCCCUAUGAAUAAUUUUUAGUUGGGAAUCUUCGUGCAGAUACAGUAGUGCUCGAGCUAUUCCAUUGAUGAUCCUGCACCUCUCGCCCCAUUUGAGUUGUUCUUUCUUCUCGGAAUCUUUUCAAAUUAAAGUCACCCCAAAUUUCAGAAAAAGAUAGUAACCGGUCAAAAUGCUAUUAAAUGUGCUUCUUUUCCAUUUUUAGGGUGAGGCUUAGAGAAUGACUAAAUGAAGGUAAAUAUAAAAUAACCAUCACAAAAAUAUAGUUAAUGAUGCAAAAUCAUAUUCAAAGAGGGUCCGUCAAGUCAUCUUUUGUUUAUUUACUCAAUUUUUUGUAUUAUGUUUGAUUGAGUCGUUUAAGUUUUAAUUUUUUUAAUUUUUAGAAUUAUUAUUGUUGUUAAUUUAUUUUAGAGAUUUGUUUUAUUUUUUAGGAUUUAUCAUGUGAAAUAAAUACAAAAAAAAUUAGUAAUAUAGUUUAUGAUUUUUUUUUAGAUUUGUCCAGAUUAGAAAAUAUCCCUAAAAUUGUGGAAUUAGUUGUAGAUUAGGAUUAUAGUUUGAUGGCUAUAAAUAUGUCUUAUAAUUUUAAAGAUCAGUUAUGGUGGAAUAAAAUUUUGAUUUUAUAUUGAAACUGCUGCCAUGGUAUCUUCUUUUUUUCUUUUGCCAUGUGACUGGUGAAAAUUAUGUCUCUAAAUGGUCUUUCUUUAUUUUUUUAAUAAUUUUUUUCCAUUUCUCGUUUUUUUUAAUCCUUAUUCUCUAAUCUUUUCAAAAUUAUUAUAAAAUUUUUUGAAAAAUUCUAAAAUUUAGUUUUCUUUAUAUUUUGAGCUUAUUACUAGUAAGAUAAAUUAGAAGUUUCCUAAUCUAUCAUGCAUCAGUUUAGACAUGUUUAAUUUUGUCAGAGCUUCUCAUUAAAACAACUCCUGAUAGCUUCUUAGUACAAAAGAAUUAAAAAUUUUAAUUUAGAACUUCUGCUUUGGGGAUCUAGAAGCUCACUUUAGCUUUACGUAAUAGCAAAACUACGGAUUUAUUAUUUGAUGAUCACCUUGCUUGUACUUUUUGAAGAAGAGAAGCUGUUUUAAUCACCUGCGUAAAAAGGUACUGGGCUCCUUUAAAAGGUUGAGAGGAAAAGUGAAGGAAGUGUUACCAAAUAGAAUGGUGUCUAGGCUUCUUUUAGGCACAUAUUCAUAGACAAGUAGCUUCUCCUGCUCCUCCAAGCAUACACCAAGUACCCUUACAAGAUUCUUGUGUUGAAGUUUGGCUACAAGGACAAUUAAGCUCAUUUUUUAGAUCCUCAAUUCCUUGCCCGGAACUUCUUGAUAGUCUCUUUACUGCUAUCUCACGCCCAUCAUGUAGGAUACCCUGUGCAAGUUUAGAAAUUUAGCAAAAAGGUCUAAAUCACAAAAGAUACAUGCAUAUGCAAAGCUCUUCUUUAUAACAGUUACAUCUCAUAGUAUGUACCCUAAACUAUUCAUAUUGUGCCAUGUGAGAUAAUGAAGAGUUUGAUCAAUUGACAUAUCGUAAUUUAUUAUGUUUAAAAGAUGUUUUUGAAAAAAUUCUUUUUGUACUUGUGUACUAUAUGGAGGCCUCUAAUUAGAUGAUGUUAUUGCUAUGCGGAAUAGCUAUAACAGAGAAGCUUUUCCUAACCCCUGCGGUACCUGAAAAUAAUGUUGCGAUUAGAUGAUGCUAGGAUUUGUCUAAAAAUAAUGCGUCAUGGUACCUUAUAAACAGCACCAAAUCCUCCUUCGCCAAGUUUAUUGACUUCGUCGAAAUUAGCAGUUGCAGCUCUUAGUGUUGGUAGAUCAGUAAGGAGUGACUCAACACCUGUGAUCGCCUCUGGAGUUGUUUCAUCUGUUGAAGUAGGAUAGAUAAAGAUUUUAUGUGUGUAUCAUGUGCAUCAAGGAUAUAAGUGCCGAGGGCUGAGCUCAUCCUGAGUACUUGCCGAUAUGGUACAAUAUAGUGUCGUGUUGUGCCUUGUUUUGUCAUGCCGAUAUGUACUACUAAGAUAGUACCUACGUGCUAAUACACUUUAGCAUGAAAAAUUUAUAUUUUUUGGCACAUGUAUAUUCUUUUGUCAAAAUUUUUACAUUAUAUUGACAUAAUUAUUUGUCAAUUUUGAAAAAAGAGAAAGCACAAGACUGUGUUGUGCCGAUAUCUUGCCGGCAAGGUAUGACAUGAUAAGCAAGCCUCAUAUCGAUGGCCACUUAAAUUCUUGAUAUACAUAUGUUUGAAUGCAUGCGUGUUCUUCUACGUGCUCGUGUGUGUGUGGUUGCGCCAAACAUUUGUCGGCACCGCAUGGCAUAUUUUCAUGCCGCACUUACCAACUUGUGUUACUGACAUAACACUUUCAGAAUCAUAAAUUUCUUUUCUUUGGCACCUAUGAUACAUUUUCUACCAAAUAAUUUUUGUGCUCUAUAAAUAUAAUGACUUGGUAACUUUAGAAAGCUAUUUUGAGCCGUGCACAGUAUGUAUCGAAUAGCAGAUACUAUAGAGAAGAAAAGAUUAGAUGAGGCCUGUGAGUCGAUGCGUGCUAAGAACUGUCCUAGAUGUGAGAUUGCCCUUCCACGUGUGAAGCUCUGGCAAUCACUCCUAGAUAUACAACGAUUACUGUCCACCCCGUCAACACAUCUUCAGGGUGGUGCAAUAUGAAUCCAACAAGCUUUCAGAGAUCCAGCAAAGUAUCAAAAGCUCAGUGCAAAAGAGAGUUCAAGUUCAAUAUAAAGAAGAGAGAAAGAAGAAGUCUUGAGCCAAUUUCAUGUACAACCCCUUAAAACCCCAGUGCACCUAUCCUCUCUUCUAUAUGUAGAUAGGAGAUCACGAUAGGGUCCAACGGUGUAGAUAGGAGAUAACGGUAGGGUCCAACGGCUCUUUCUCGGGUAAGCCGUUGGCCCUAUCCGAGGUGAUGGAUACGGUAUCUUAUCAAAAUAGGGUAAAAUCUGGGCAAAGAGACCUUAUCGCGGUAAGGUAAUGAUUGAGCUUUAAAUACAGAAUCUCAAAAAAAAAGAAAAAAAAAAAAGAAAAAGGGUAAGUGAACUAGGUAGCCUGGACCACGGACGCGCUACUGCCUAGCCCGGCUUGACUCAUGCUCGUGCUUAUGUCGUGCGUGUGUUUAGUCAAGAGCAUCACUCUCAUAUUCAGGUAAAACCCCUUAUAACCCCAGUGCACCUCUUAAUUCUCUCUUCUAUAUGUAGAUAGGAGACAAUGAUAGGGUCAAGCGACUCUUUCUCAGGUAAACUAUUGGCCCUUAUCGAGGUAUUGGAUACGGUAUCUUACCGAAAUAGGGUAAAAUCUGGGCAAAGAGAUCUUACUGAGGUAAGGUAAUGAUUGGGCUUUAAAUACAAAAUCUCAAAAAAAAAGAAAAGAAAAGAAAAGAAAAAGGGUAAGUGAACCAGGUAGCCUAGACCACGGGCGCGACAUCGCCCGGCCCAACCCAUGUCGUGCGUGUGUUUAGUCCAGAAUAUCACUCUCAUAUUCUUUAAGAAUGAAGAAGUAUAUAUAUAUAGCAUCAACAUGUCUUUUGUUUUCAAUGUAGGAGGAAUCUUCACAUGUAAAAAAUUUAGCACGGGCUCUCAGGUAAGGAUCAUAGGAUAUUGGGCUACCUAGAAAGUGUGAUACCCCAAUAGUCCCACAUCGGAUAGUUAUGGCUAGAUGUGGGAGUAUAUAAGCUUGAUUGGGCUAGACAUAAUAACUGGGGUAAAGCAUUUUGGGCCGGUGGUAUGGGCCUAACGAGUUAUUAUUGCUAGCGGAUCAGGUCAUUACAUUUGGUAUCAGAGCCAGUUCACCAGCUGGAAGUAUGAGAUGAGUCUUGGCUGAGCCAAGGUCGGAAAGACAGACUAAGGCAGGGUCGGUGAUUGACAGGCUAAGUCAGGGUCGGAAUGACAAAGGCCAGCGAGACAAGUCUCAUAUCGCCUGGUGAUCUUGGGCUGUGUGUGUGUUUAGGGCUGACGAGGACGUUCCACAUCGGAUAGUUAUGGCUAGAUGUGGGAGUAUAUAAAUUUGAUUGGGCUAAACAUAAUAAUUGGACUUAAGCAUUUUGGGCCGGUGGUAUGGGCCCAACGAGUUAUUGUUGCUAGCGAGUCAGAUCGUUACAGGAAGCCCAUGAAGUUUUAAAUCACAAAAAUCCCAAUUAAUACUAAGACAGGUGCCAUUGUUUGCAUAGUCUAGAUGAGCUCUUCACCAAAUAGCUAUAUGUAUAGUCGGAUAGCAAUAGAAGGCAUUCAUGCACUAGUCACUUACCUAGUACCGGUUGUCUUGUUGCUGAUCUCCUCCUCUUCUUCCACAUGGCGCGAUUGUGGAGAGCAGCUACAAUAGCUAAAGGAAUGCUAAUUGAAAGAAUUAAUCCUAUAUGUGUGGUCUUCUUCUUCUUCUUACCUGAAAUUUUCAUAUUACCAUACCAUUAAAAAGCCUAUCAUAAAGUAACAAAAUAAAUUAUAAAAGAAGAAAAUACGACCGUUAGUCUGCAAGAUGGAUGCAUGUUAAAGUAGUUCAUCUCUUUAUAGUGUGUGUCUUAUUGACAUAAGUGGGAGUAUUGGAUCUUGUUUAGUAUUGUUGCCCUUUUUUAAUUUUUUUUUAAAACAAAAAUUUUAUGUGAUUGGACUCGAAGGGGUUGGAUUUCACUGUUUUUGUCAUUGUUGGUUAGCUUGCAAUGUGCCUACCUAGACAGAAAACAUCUUCUCCAACAAAAAUUUGAAAAGAAGCUCCAAUUCAAGACAUCUGAUUCUAUUCCGAAAGGAAUUACUUAGUUAGGGUUUCUCAAUAUAGCGCUUCUACUAAUAAUAGUAUCCAAGCAACACUUUUCUAGCGCGGGUGACAAAGAGGUUGGUCGUUGGCAUUCGAGGUGUUAAAUUCGAAGUCUAGUUAUGUAACAUUUUUAGCUAAUUUUAUCAAUUAUUUGUAAUGAAAAUCAGUUACUCCCUUACCUUCUUCUGUAGCUGGAAUAAUUGCUGGAGGAUUUUCCGCAGGUACCGGCAUUGGCGCUGGCGUGUUCACCAUCGGAUGAGCAAGUCUUAGCGUAAGCGCCUCAUAAGAGAAGGAGGCCAAUUCAUACCUGAUACUGCAUCUCACUCCGAGAAUCCACCCACUUUGCUCCCGUUGAAAUAACUCGACAUCUCGCCGAUUAGCCCCUGCAGGCACUGCCAACACUCCACUGCCGUCAUAUCUGGCGUGCAUUGCGCCAACCUGUAAAAUGAUAAUAUCAGUAUACAGUAUCUAGCAGCUUCAGAUCUAGAUUCUAUGAGAAAAUAAUGUUUAAGUACAAUAUUAAAAUAGGAGAUCUUGAGUUCAAAAUCUAGCCAACAUCCAUUUGAUGCAAAUUCUACUUUUUAGGCUUGUUAAAUGUCUCAGCCUAUCUAGAGCAAAAUCAUACAGCCAUUGAAAUAUAACACUUUCAGAAUGAGUCCAUGAACUUCAAAUUUUCUAAUUUUAGUAUCUAAUCUAUCAUAAAUUUUGAUUUCACGCCUCACCUGGUGGUGAAAUUCUUUUUUGUUUAUUUCAAUUCAACUUUUUUCCUUCAAAUUUAUUUGGAUAUUUGAGUAAAACCUUACUUGUUUUCCUAGAAUAAGAAAAUUAUAUAACAAGUAUCUCCGCAAAUAAAUGAUUAGCAUCUCUAACAAUUUGGUUUUGAUACUAUAUAAAGAAACAUAAAACAACUGUUGUUUUUAAAAACUUAAGGAGCUGUUUGCUUUUUAUGAAAAAUAUAUUUUCUAGUUUUUCGUAUGUUUGGUUCCCAAAAUAAUUUAACUUUUUUGAAUUUUUUUUUCAAAUUUUAUGAAAAACUAUUAUUUUUAUUUUUCGAAAACAUUGGAAAGCAAUCUUCAAUAAAAAAAAGUUUUCAAGGAACUAAUUUUGUUUAGAAUCAAACAGGCGAAAAGCCAUAAAAAAAAUAAUGUAUUCAAUAUUUAUAUUCAGUACUUUCUCUUACGUCUCUCCCACAGCUUAAAACACGAACCCAUAUAUCGGUGGUACCUCCGCCGUAGAAUUCGCCACCGACGUUGCGAACCUCUGCGUCGUGUUGUAUGCCGCCCAGGCGGCCGUCGUGUUGACCAACCUUGUAACGAUUUUAUUGAACAAAUGGGAAUUUUCCCCGACCUUGCCGGGGUUCACGAAGAUCACUUGCUUCGAGUUGUCAGAGGAGGAAUUUAGGAAGUGCAGGUUAGAGUAGCGAAUGAGGCAGUAAUCGUACCUACAAAGGAAAAAAAACAUAAAAAAAAAAAGAAAAAAAAGUGUGUAUUAAGAUGAAACCAGGGAGAUAGCAAAGAUAACGGAAUCGCCGCCACCGAAUCACUGUAGUUUAUUUUAAGGGCUCUGUUUGGUUUUGAGGCCUAUCUAGCGUUAACGGAGAAGACUGAAUUAAGAUAAAAAUAGAUAAAGAUUCAUAAAUAAUUAAAUGUAAUAUUACAUAUAAAAAUAAAUAGAAUAUUUUUUACUGUACUUUUUUAAUAAAAGCAUUUAUGUCUCUCGACAAUUACAAAUAAAGCCUAGGUGUCCCUUGGGUUAACAAAAAAAUAUGAUAAGAGGAGAUUUUUUAAAAGCGCUAUUUAGAAAGUAAGCACUGAUCUCUUUAUAUUGUUUAAAUUUAAAAAUGUUACUUUUUUCUUAUUUUUAUAUAUUCAAUUUUGUCAAAAUAAGUUAAUAUAUACUCAGCCAUUAUAUUUGAAAAAAUAAAAUAAAAUUAUAGAUUUAUUGAUUAAAGUGUAGGGAUUGAAAAAAAGAGCAGUUAAGUGAUGUAUUUGAUCAGAAAUAAUAACAAUACAGAAUAUAAAUUAAAAAGUCUGUAAACUAUUGAAAAGCACGGAUUGAAAUAAUUAAUCCUACAUAUUCUACCAAAUAUAGUUAAAUUUAAUAGAAAUAAUUUAUUCUAAUUAAAGCAAAUUAUUUCAGAUUAUUCCGCAUGCUAAUAUUCCUCCUACGUCUGGAAUAAUCAUACUUAUCUUUCUGACUGUCCACUAUAAAAAAAAAAAAAGGUCCUUUACCAACGCUUUUUAAAUCACUUAUCAACCCUAUAAAGCGUUGGCAAAUUAGCCUUAUUAUCUUGGUUGCGACGUGCAAAAGCGUCGGCAAAUUAUAUUCUCUUAGCCUACUUUUAAUUUUGGUGACGCUCCAAAGCGUCGGAAAAGUAAUAAAAUAUAAACCCUUUUCUUAUUGGCGACUCUUUAUAGCGUCGGCAUAAUAGAUAAUCUGUAUUAUUAUUACUAGCUAGUGACAUCUUUGUGCGUCGGCAGUUCAUUUUAAUAUAUAUUUAUUUUUAUAAUUUUUUGUAAAAGUAAAAUUUACUGUUCAGUUUAUUCAACAAAAGCUAAAAUCUACUAUAUUUCAUAAACAAUUAUAAUCAAAAUAUUAAUGACAAACAUAAUAUACAACUUAUAUAAAAAAAAUAUAAGUAGUUAAAAAAUAUAAACUUCAUCUCAAUGUAUUUACUCGACUUUCACCAAUAUAUCUAUGUUGUACUUAAUUUUUUUUACUAUUCUUUACUUUUUUUUCUUAGAAAAGUUAAACAUAAUUUUGAUUAUCUCAGAGAUUCUAUUUUUUUCAAAAAAAAUCAGAUUAAAUACAAAUUUGUUUUUUCUAUAUUUCUCGCUAUUCUAAAAUAUUAAGUUAUUUUAAAACUAAAAAUACUUAUUUAUCCUUUAAUUAAAUAUAUAAAACGUUAUUAAUUUCUUUACCACACCACCCUGAAAAUACGUCAACCAAGUGAUGCUCACAACUACCAGACGACGGCGUCCUUGUCGUAGGGGCAGAGGUCGAGGACGUCAGCGGCCCCGGCGCCGAGGCAGGAGCUGCAGGCGGAGGCGUUGACGUCGCCGCGGCAGAGGGCGAGACCAGAGACCUGGUCGGGGGGCUGACCGGCGACGCCAGCGAAGAAGCCGCGGGAGGCAUCGGCGAGGAGGGAGGAGAGCAUGAGGUUGAGGUUGGAUCGGUAGGUGCUGUUCGCGGAGUAGACGCCGGUGCCGCUGCACAUCUUGUAGCGAGAGGUGCCAGCGGCGGCGCCGGGCGAAGGAGAAAGGAGGAGGAGGAGGAGGAGGAAGGAUAAGAUCAAGUAAUUCUUGGGUGCCAACAUAGUAUGAGAUUGAGAUAUACGUACGUACAACAGGAUUUCGCAGGAUAUAUAUAUAUCGAGGAGAUGGUUUGUUCACAGCGCGCGGCAUGCAGGACGGGAGAGCGGCUUGGGAGAGAAAGAUAAGAAAAUGCUGCAGUCGCAGCAGUUGAGGACUAGGAAUGUUACUUGAAGCAUUGCUUGCUUGGUUUGGCCUCUCAUNCGUUUUACCGUACGCAAUUUUCUAACAGUGGUAUCAGAGCCAUCCUCAUGUUUUUAAGAUUAAAAUUAUAAAUUUGGGUAUUCUAAACCGUUUUUCCACCGGUAGAACGAUUUAUCGAUCGUUUUUUACUAAUUCGAAAAGAUCAAAGUGAUCAACAAUUUAAUCGAACGGUUUCCUAUUUUCAAGCAACAAAAAAAAAAAAAAAAAAAAAAAUUAAAAAAAAAAAAAAAAAAAAAACAAAGGAGACUAUCAGCAUAAUCCACAUAUCCGGUCAAUAAAUUUUCAGCAAAAACUGAAAGUAAUUUCUACAAACAAAAGCUUUUGUUCUUCUACCGUAGAGAAAAUCAUGGAAAACAUUGCGUAAGCAAAAUUGUUCUUUUCUUUUUUUUCCUUGGGUAAGGAAAAUUGAGAUGUGAAAUACAUACGCAUAACAAAAUAAUAUAAUGUUUUAUGCAACAAUAAAGAAACAAACCAGCCAAUAGUUUGGCUCGCCUUCCACUAUUGAUAAAGAAACCCAAACUGUAACUACUUGGUCAUGAAAUGCAACAUACUAACAAAGAAAGAAAGCAAACUAUUGAACAUCAAAAUAUAAAAAUAUUAUUUUUCUAAUAGUUUAAGCUUUUAGAGAAUAAUGAUUAUUUCGCAUUAUUUGACAUGAUAUCAGAGUAGAAAAUCCUGAGUUCGAAUUCCACCAGACUUAUACCGUUAUUUAAUUUCUUCCCAUUUAAUUAAGCCUACGUCUUGGGCCUAUAAAAUGUAUUGAGUCCAAAUGUUGGGGGCGCGAGGGUGUUGAGCAUAAAAAAAAUAUAAAAAUAUCGUUCUAUAAUAACUAAAGCUCUGAGAGAAUAAAAAUAUAAAAUUUUCUUGCUCUAAACAAUAGAAAAUACAAGUAAAAUGACUACUUCUCAGACCACACACUGCAUUCUUCUUGUAAAUGAAUCCUUUUUACAUCAUAAUUAACUUAUCUAGCAAGAGAACCAGAGAAAGAAAACAUCUAUAUGGAGCAAAAAUGGAUUACUUCAAGCCUUUAGAUAGACACUUAAUAACAGCUAGAAGUGAAGCGAGAAAUCUUCACCAUAAUUGGUUAAGCAAUCUAUUUAAUCCAUUAAUGUAUUAAUCCCUAAAAUGGAUGAUGAUGGCUUCAUUACUAUUGCAUAUUUAACAAAUAAAAGAGAAAAAGGCGCGAGCAAAUCAGAGGUAGUCAGCAACAAAUUUACAUGCAUGCAUGUAAACAGCAUCAUUAAACAAAAUACCUUAAACAAUAAAAUAAUAAUACAUCUGACUUGAAAUAAAAAUAUGCCUGCAUAGAGUUCACUUGUGUAUUUACUAAUAACAUCACUUAAGCAUGUGGUCAUACGUAGUUUCUUGGUAUAAGGAAGCCAACAAACCUUGCUCAAGCAAAAUCCACUUUUUCAAUGACCACAAUACCCAAACUUUCUAAACUUAAUCAGUCAAGUAACCUACUUUAUCAGCUAAUUAUUUUCUUAAUUAUACUGAAAUAAAUCUUUAGACUAUCUUUGAAUUUGCACAAUAAAUACAAUUCUAUAGAUUUGAAUAGGAAAAAGGCUAUAUACCAGUAAAAGACCAUCAAGUCAAAUGAUAAAAUAAGUCAAACCCAAGAAUUUUAAAGUUGCAUGUAAAAUAAUUUCAAAAUCAUAAUUCGUCUUUCUAUUGAAAGCGGUUGUAUUAAACAGAAAAAGAUGAAUCUCAGCAUGUAAAAUUUGAAUUAAUAUUAAAUCAUACUUAUAAAAACUAACACACAAAAUAUUACCCACAUAGAAUAAGUCCUCUAGAAGUUUUAUCUCUUAGCAUUCUUUUUUUACAAUGAUUGAUUGAGUUUUCUAUUCAAAACAAAGUAUAAUAAAUCACUCGUAAAAGGCACUUAAAUUAAACAAAUUCACUAUGAGAUCCCAUAGGUAAAGAUCAAAUCCUAGAUCGAUAUAAAGUAAAUAUUCGGGAUUUAAAAACAAAAAAAAGAAAAUUAUGAUUAGGGUUUUCCGUUUCCAAUACUUACCUCCUCGAUUCUUACAUGAUCGUGGUCCAAUUAGCAUCUGCUAUCGAAAAAGUUGUUAGAUUAGCUGCUUCUUCCAAAAGUCUGAAGAGAUCGAUGUAGAAAGAAACCCUAGAAGCGAAUCGAGACCAAGGAUGGAGAUAGAGCUCCAGCAACAUCGAAAACGAAAAACGGCAGAAACAAUGAGGCAGAGAAGAAGGCGUAGGGGCAGGGGGGAUGGAGCAUGAGGAGGCGGCGGGAUGUACAAUUAAAAAUAGAAGAACACAAAGCUGUUGUUGUUUUAGCUUGCCUUUAAUCCUGCCCCAUUUUUUACUCUGUUAACCUGCAAAAUAUUAUAAAUUAGUUCGCGCCGGAAAGUUUAAAUAUAAACAGUUUAAGUUUUCAAAGAAAAUUAUCUCUGUUAUUUGUUUCUAAAUCAUCAAAAUCGAAUUUACAAACUAAGUUUACAGAAAAAACAGGUCGUUAAAUUUACAUUACUGAGACUGCUAUAAGCAUUCGGCGAGUGACGUUCAUGGGGAUGCUUAUUGGGUGGCGGCAGUCAGCAAGACUGUGCAAUUUUCCAGUGAACCCCACUGCGGCGAUGGUGUCAUUAUAAUAGGGGAGUUGAGGAAGAAAAGGAAACUAACACAGAAAACAUUACCUAUAUAGAAUGAGUUCAUAUGCUUUCUUCAGGGUUCCGCCCACCCCUUGGGAGGGUCAUUCAACACCAAAUUUGUGCCAUAUGCCCUUAUGACGACCUUCCUCCCCACGCUCGUGUACGACGGCAUGGAGAUCACAAUCUUGUACCUUUUCAGAGCCGCCAUAAAUGAUAUACCGAUCCUUAUGUUUCCCCAUGUUGGCUUGAUCAACAUCAUCUUCUCCAAACUCGCCGAUUCCUCUCUCUCAAUAGGUUUUUUCAUAUCACCCAAUUUACGACAAAAAAGACAAAAUUCUAAAAAUAAAAAAAAAAAACUUAAGCAUAAUCACCGUUAAUGGAGGAUCGAAAUCCUAGCAACAAAUCUAAUACAAACCAUAAUAGAGAAAUCUAAUGCAAAAGACCCAAGUCUUGAAGCCUUAAUUGACUAAAACAUAUUAUAACAUAAAUCUAAAUAAUGAAGAUAUAGAGAGAAAGGAAUGGGCAAGGAGCAAAACCUUAGAGUUUGGAGAAGAAUUGGAGAGUCGCAGUAUUCAUUGAAGCCUCAAAAGCGCGGCAUCGAAGGCGACAGAGGAGCCUAGCGUUUUGACAGAGCACACGGGCUCCCUCCCCUCGCCUCUUCCACGACCUUCCCCUCGCCUCCCUCUUCUUCCUCUUCUCCUUCUCCACUCUCUCUCUUGGCCUUUUCACCCUCUUCGACGGCCUAUGGUAGCGUCGCAAAGGCGAAGGAGGUGAGAAUGCAGAGGCGGAGAUGGAGGCUCCUAUCCGAGUGGGAGAGGCGGCGAAGGCGAGAAAUCUAGGAUCACAAUUAGGGUCGGCGGAGUGUGAGAUGAGGGUGAGGGCUACGGUGAGGGCUACGAAGAGUCGGAGUUAAAAACGAUGCCACCGUUUCGCGGUGUGGUGGACUCACACGAACCGUUUUGCUGUGGGGUGGAUUCGUCUGUCCAUUAAUUAAGCAUUAGGCUGAUAAUAAAUAUAUAAGAUGGGUCCCAUAUCUAUAAGGUUUAAGUAAAAAUUUGACACGUGAAUUUUCCCACGGGGAUUAAUAUAAGUUUAUAGAAGAUUAGUACAUUUUUUACCAGUUAUUAAAUAGAAACCAUAAGGAAAGGCUGUAAAGUACUUUUUCUGAGACAACAUAAUGCAUUUUAGUAAAAAAAAAAAAAAAAAAAAAAUAUUGAUAAUGAAUGCUAUGCACCUUGUAUUACGGAGAAGAGCCCAAUACUAUUUUAUCAUACUAUAAAAAGAGGAAGAAUCCAAAAGGAAGAAGAAAAAGAUAGAGAAGUUGAAGAAGACGAUGCGAAAGAUGCAGACAGGAAAAAGAAGCACCAUCCAGCCAAGUCCCUGUACUACACCAAAAUUUUGCACUAUUUACACUGAUAUAUUAUACUAUUUCAAAAGAAUUAAUUUCAUACAUGUCUCUAUAAGUAUAGUAAAAUAAUAAAUAUAUUUAUAUAAAGUUCAAUUUUCAUAUAUUGUUAUUAUAAAAAUUUUGAUGUUUUCAAAUAUACUCCGGUCAUUAGAAUUCAUUAGAAAAAUUUAAUCAUAGUUAGUUUUUAACACUUUUAUUUCUAUUAUAUUAUACUGUUCUGAUAUUUGGAGGGACAUAUUUGUGAUGGCAAAAUUAAAAAUAUAAAUAGUUUUCUAACGGUAACAAACUAGAAGAAUAUAUUUGAAAAUAUAGAAACUUUUGUAGAGACAAAAUAUGAAAAUUGAACUUUAUAUAAAAAUAUUUGCCAUUCAAUAUAUUUACAAGGACCUGUAUGAAAUUAAUCAUUUAAAAAUUAUUAAACUAUUUGUUGCCGUUUUCAUAUAUUUAGUUGUCUGAUUUUAUUGUCUACCGUUUUUUUCCAAAAUAAUUUCAAACAGUAAACAACGAGAAGAGAAUCAAAAUUCAAAAUUGGUGUCGCUGCCAGCAACUUGUGUUGGUUCUGACCAUAGUUAAUUAAUUCAAAUUGGACAAAACUUCGGUACAGAUAUAAUUCAAAUAAAAUUCGUAUGUUAAUUUUUAAAUUCGUUGAAAAAUACGGUUUAAAAAACGGGUUUGACAAUUAUUCGGAUACACAAUUUAUAUGAAAAUUAUACGUUCACCAACUAGAAAUUCGGAAUAAAAAAUACUGACUAUUACCAACCGUCUCUAGAGCAAGUGGCAAAGGGCUUGAUAGUUGGUACCCGAGACCCAGGUUCGAAUCCUGGUUGAUACCUAUCUCUCAAAAAAAAAAAAUUUCUGACUAUUAAACUAAGCCUUUUCUCUAUAUUUAUGCUAAAAAGAAUAAUUAUAAAUUCUUAAGAAUAUAAAAAUAGAAAGCUAUAAAAUAAAGUAUAUUAAAUAGGAAAAACUUCAAAAAAACCCUCAUGUGGUUUCGUACUUUCUCACUUUAGUACCCUGUGGUUUAAAGUGUAUCAAUUUGGAGCCUUGCGGUUUCAUUUUUAUCUUUUCGACAGCUUUUUUUGUUAAUAUUUCGUUAAAUUAUAUAAAAAAAACUUCAGAUACCCACCUAGGUUUAUUAAAUAUUCACUUUAGUACCCUUUAAUUUUAACUUUAUCACUAAUUUAAGAAAAAAAUAGUGAAAUUUAUAAUUUAAAAAGAAAAAUGAAACCACAUGGCACAAAAUUGAUACACUUUAAACCACAGAGUACUAAAGUGAAAAAGUGCAAAACCACAGGGAGAGUUUUUGAAGUUUUUCCUAUUAAAUAAAAAAAGCAAUAGUAAAAUUUAUUGCCGUCUCCAUUUUCAUUUUUUUCAUAAUCCACGUAAUCCGGAAGUUAAUAAAAUUUUUCAAUAAUUCACAAAUAAUUCGACAAUAAUUUGUAAAUAAUUCAGAAAAAAAUUUUAUCCAAAAUUUUUGUGCGUAUUUUAGCCGAAUAGGUUGGCAUACACAAAUUAUUCACGAAUAAUAAAUCUAAUCCAAAAAUUCGCGUUUUAUUCUGAUUUUUUAGAAAUAAAUCGCAUACGAAUUAUUUUAUUUAGAUUUUCAAUAAACAAAUAAUUUGCGAAUAGUUUGCGAAUUAACUAACUAUAUCCUAUGUUUGGACAAAGGAGACGUACGCCCGCUAACUUCGAAAAUUAUUUUUUAUUAAUAGCCUUAGAAAAUACUAUAAUGAUAAAAAUAGUCCUGUAAAAAAAUUAUUUACAGAAUUAAAUUAUACGGUGAAUGAAUUACUACUUUUUAAAUAUGAUAAAUUAUUAUUCACCACUCUUUUCAUAGAAUUCAAUUUUUAGUGUUUAAUAUUAUACAUCUUUUACAAUUUAACUAUAAAAAAUAUAUAAAUUAGGAUAAAAACAGUGAAUCAUUCACCGUUUUUAAAAAAUAAUAAAUAAUUCACAGCUUUUCUACCUAUUUUUAUUAAUAAAAAUUUUAAAUACCUAUUUUUAUAUUUAAAAAAUUUACAGGCUCGGUAGCCCAAAAACUUCAACUUCAGACCUUAGCCUUGGUAUGCGUAGAUCAAAUGUGCAGCCGUCUGUUUUACGUAUUUUAGUCGCAGGCAUUUUGGUUAGAUUCUUGAAAAUUCGGAGCAAAUCUACAAAAUUUAAAAGAGUUGCCCAAAUUUACAAUAGUGCAAAAUUUUAAAAAAUUUUACAGAAUCUAGCAGCUAUACAGAACCAUGGUGUAUUGACAGGAAACUCUGUUUGAGUUUUGCCACUGCAGCACAGUGCAGGAAAAUCUCUAACCCAAUGUUUAAAUAGACGCAGGUGUAAAAAGGCAAAUGCCCUCCGGAGCCUAGGCGUGAGGCGCACCGUGGAGGUGCAGCCUCAAGAAAGUAGUAGGCCGCACGCCUAAUAAAAAUAAACUACCCUUACCAAACAGUCUAAAUAGAUGUUUUACAUUAAAAAAAAAUUCAAAAUAAUCAUACAAAAACAAAAUAAUCCUCAAAAAGUAAAGAAAUCACUUGUACAAAUAUUCUCAAAUUAGAAAAAAAAAUUACAUUUCAACUUUCAGCUUAAAAGUGUUUGAUGCUUUUUCCUUACUUCUUGAUACUCCUGUUUGCUGCCACUGGGGGUGGAAGAGAGAACAACUAAUUGAUUCACAUUUUCAGCUAAGUUUAUUUUUAAAUAAAAUAAACGAACGGAUAGCAUGAUACCUAUCAAUCUCAAAAAAAAAAAAAAACGUUCAAAAAUUUUUUUUGUAUAUUUCUUAAAAUUUUAUAAUAUAUUGAAAAAACUUAAAGACCCCAAAAUUCAAAUUCUAUACCCAUUAAACGUAAAUAUCACAAGGUGCAGACGCUGAGGCGCGCAUUUUGCAAACACUGCUCUAACCUCUCCCAAAGGUUCCCCGAGAGCUCUCUCAGAUCUUUGUACCUCCACCAUGAAUCUCUUCUUUUUUUUAUUCAUUUUUCCCAGAGGAAGUACUAUUUAUAUAUCAAUUUUUAUUUGUAUAUCAACAAUUGUAUAUCUUACACUCCCACAUACUAUGAUUUGAACAAACCCCAUUAUUGAGAAAGAGUUGGUCCUUGAAAAAAGAACCAUACGUGAGGGGAGGAAAAAAAAAGAAGCAAAUACACGAAAUUAUGGCCUAGCCUCAUAAAUGAAAACAAAAAAAUCUCCAUUGCCUAGAAGAUUGAAAGAGUGGUAAUACAGGGUUUGUUUGGAUGUAAUAAAAAGAAUUACCAGAGGAUAAAGAAAAGUAUGGAAUUGACAUAGUGCACUUCAAUAAACAGCAUGUCCUCUUCAGCAGACAAAAGAAACGCAAAUAAAAUAUAACUUGAAGUUGAGGAUAACAAUGUCCUGCAGGGAAUGCUAACUUUGAGAAUAACAACAUAUGAGUUUAAAAAAAAAAAACACAUUAGGAAAAAUGUACAAAGACGCCGUGAACUAAAUUUAGCUCUUUUGUAAAUAGGCGCCCCAAAUAGGCAUAUGAACUAUUAGUUUUGGCAAUUAGACGGGCUAAACUUUAUGAAAUAGCUCAAUAAGCCCCCCAAUUCAAUCAAAGUUACUAAUUACAGAGCUGUUUUGAUUGCACAUCUUGCACAUAAUCUUAUAAGACUUCAAAAUGUAAAGAAACUUUUUUUUAAUUCCAGUUUUGAUAAUUAAGCAAAAGGAUUGAAAAGUAGUGUGAACAUACCUUCGACUUUUGUUGCUUUUCUUUUAUAUGUUAGAAUAAAAGAAAUAAAUUUAUUUGUUUUUUGAAAAUUUAAAAAAUUAGAUGCAAGAGAUACAAUCAAAACAGCUGAGCAAUUAGCAAGUAUAAUUGAGAAGAGGAGACUGUUGAACUAUUUGACAAAGUUUAGAAAGUCUACUUGCCGAAAUUGAAAGUUCAAGCACAUAUUUGCAGAAGUGCUAAAGUUCAAGGAGUCUCCAUAUAUUUUUUUUCCCAAAGAUAGGUUAUUAAAUAAGUGACCAAUAGCCUAAAAGGGCUUGUAAUGCAAUCUACGAACAUGGAGGAGUAGAAAUUUCAUUAUGUUCCUAUAGCUGCCUCAGAAAAGAGUGACAAUUGUGCCCGAACUACUAAGGUUAAUGAAAAUCAAAGUGAUCCUGAUUUCAUAAAUAUAUGUUUCUUCUAUCAUCUUUACAAGUGGAAGUAAGUUUCCCUAACAAGAUCAAAGAUACUGGCAAAGAGCCAAACCAAAUGGACAUAAGUAUUUGCCUGCCUAUUUACCACAAGCUAAAGUGAUUGGGUAAAAAAAAACAUGGAUGAAGCACCGGUGAUUAAGUUAAGCAAAUGGUAUUGUGCCGAACUGCUAAUGAAAGAAAUCACUCCCGACGUACCAUCAAGCAUUAAAUAACGUGGCCAAGAAGUGAAGCCUUAUUACUUCAAAACCUGCUCUCACAGGUACAUAUUAUAUGCUACUCCUAACUUUGAAAUGCCGUGUUGAAAUAAGCAGCAAGGCCAGAAUGAACAUGAGGAAAUUAACUAAGGGGAGUGAAGCCAAAUGUGCAUGCAGCGAUUACAGAUCUCAGAUUAGAUUUCCUCAGAAAUAAAUGGUCUUUUUGCAAACUGGUUUGCAGUUUAAAACUUGCUAUGAGAUUUUCCGAACAAGAUAAGAACUCCGAUACAAGAAGAUAACAAGUUAAUGUACAAAACCAGUAUGAGAAGCUUAAAACCACAAAACAGUUGCGACUUAGAAAUGGCGCCACGGACAGCCUAAAUAGCCAAGAAUUAUGCCGAGAGGGCGAGUAGUUUGGGGUUUUGAUCUGUUGGUUUUGACGGCACUGCUAAUCAACAGAAGUCGGCAAUCUUAACUCAACCUUAAUCAAUUAAGACUCAACCUAUCACUUUCAUCAUUCUUUUAUUCUUAAUAAACAACCAUUACAUAGAUGAUUUGGAACACAAAAGAAAACAUCUACUCCUCCUCCAUCUUCUAGUGGACUGCGGAAAUUAUAUCGUGAUAUCUUUUAUGGAAACAAAGAGAACAGUUUCCCCUCACUGCAGUAAACAUAGGAAUUGCAUGCAAGAAAUCACAAAUUCGACAAAACCAAACAAUAAUUAGCACCCAGUAACCACUCCUUUAACACUCAAUCAUCUUACACUAGCAUGGUCGAUAGAUAGCUAGACAUGGCGAUAAUCGAUGGGAGUAACAUCACAGGAAGAUCGGAGAGAUACCGAAGGGGGCGAAUGCGAUCAGAAGACGAUGCGGAACUGGGGGGCGUCGUCGCCGGCGGCGGGGAGGAUCUCCCAGCGGCAGGGCUCGAGGUCGUCGGAGACGGGGCAGUAGCCGGCCACCGUCACGCGGUCGCCCGACGCCGCCGCCGACCCGAACUCGAACACCGUGACGUCCGCCGGCCGCCGCGGCACCUCCACCGCCCCGUGCAAUCCCGGAACCUCCUCCGCCGCCGCCGGCGCUCCGUCGGGCUUCCCGCCUCGACCGCUCGCGGGGGCGUUCGGCGCCGCCGCCCCCGGCGCCGGCGGCGGAGAGGAGGGCCCGCCCUUCCACCACGACAGCAUCCCCAUGGACGCGGAUAGAGAGGGAGAGAGAGAAUGGGUUCCUCUAGAUUUUAGGGUUUUGAAUUGCAGUCCGGCUCCGAAGAGAUAUAACUCUCUCGCUUGCUUAUUGCAAGUCGGCAGGAUUUUUUUUUUUUUUCUUAUAAUAGAGCAAAUUUUAGGCCAAUUUGCAUAAAAAAUUCACAAGUUUUGAAAUUUUUUUUUAAUUUUGCAGAUUCAAGCUGAAUUUUUUACCAUUUGACGAAAAUACUUUUAUUCCUUUUCUUUCUCUCCCUUCUUUUUUCUCUCUCUCCUUUUUCUUUCUUCGCUAUGUUCAACCCCCCUGCCCCUCCUCCUUCGCCCCCGCCUCCCCCGCCUCCUUCGCCGCCGACGCCGACGACGAUGUCCUCUGCGUCGGCGUCAUCGUCGUCGAGCUCCCGCGUCCCCGCACGAUACAGGGUCGCACGCACGAUAUAGGGAUCGCUCGCGCUCGUGCUCGUUUUCGUGCUCGAAUAAAAGAAAAAAAAAAAAAGAGAGAAAGAAAAGGAAUAAGGGUAUUUUCGUUCGAUGGCAAAAAAUUCGGCCCGAAUCUGCAAAAUUGAAAAAGGUGGCCCAGUUUUGCAAAAGCUCAAAAUUUGUGAAUUUUUAAUGCAAAUUGGCCUAAAUUUAUGUAAAUACUAAUUUUUUCACUUUUCUCUCUUAUUUUUAAAAGGGUAAAUUACACCAUUAGUCCCCAACCUUUUUCCAAAUUUUCAUCUAGGUCCCUAACCUUUUUUUUGUCAUUUAAGUCCCCAAUUGCAAUAAAUUAUUGCAAUUGGGUCCUACCGUCUAUAUUUCUAUCAUCAUUGAUGGAAAUUGACACGUAGGCGCCAGCACAGUGUACAUUUGGCAACUAUGGAAUAAAAAAAUAAUCCACGUGGGACAACCCACUUUUAAAGCACCUGCAUAGUAAAGUAGAUAGAGAAAUAAAAAUUACCCACUUUCUAAGCACCUGCAUAGUAAAGUAGAAAGAGAACUAAAAAUUGGGGCUUUUGUCCAAUCUUGCAUUAAGGUUUUACUUUUUUUUUCCCAAUCCAUAAAUUGAAGCCCAUCAUAAACGACGACAACCACGACAAGGGGGACGAGUCCAAGAUCUGCUCUUGCAUAGAGUGUGGAUCUUCUUGAGCAUGAAGUAUAAUUAGAAGGAAGAAGACAAAAAAAGGGUACAAAAUGUGGGUUUUAAGAAAGAGGGGUGACCCACAACUUGAGUAUAAUAAGUUUUAUUUUUUUAUUUUUUUAUCUUUGUGAUCCCAACAGAGCUAGUGACUAAUUUUUUAUUACCCUUUCUAUACAUAUAUUUUAUUGCAAAAUAUUUUUUUUUUGUAUUCUUUUGCAUUGAGCACAACAAAAGUUGAUAAUAAUUUUUAAUUAAUUAAUUUAUUUUAUUUUAUUUUUGUAUGUAUGUUCUACAGCACAAGACAGUGAUUAUUUUAGUAUAGAGUAUUACCAUGACGGUACUUUUGUGCAAGCACCAUUAAAAAGUUAUAUUGGUGGUAGUGUUGACUACUUUGAUCUAUGUGAGUCUGAUGAAAUAUUUUUGUUAGAACUAGAUGAUAUGGGAGAGAAGUUGGGAUAUGUUGGUAACCAUGAUUUUUUUUGGAAACAAAAAAAAAAGAAUUUAGAUGAUAACUUUAUUCAUAUUAAGAGUGACAAAGAGUUACUUGGUGCAAUUGACAAGCUUUGUUGGGAGGAUUUGUUACAAAUAUAUGCUGUUAAGAAAAGGUUCGGUGAGAGCAUAAAUUCUUCCAAAGAUGUGGAUGAAGUUGGUAGUGCAGAUGAUAUUCCUACCAUGGAGGAGAUUUUAGCUGAUAUUGGAUUUAAUGACUCUGAAAAGAGUUUAGAUGCAAAUGAUGAGGAAUGGGCUCCUAGUGAUGAUGAGAACAAUGAUAAAGAAUCUGACAAAGGUUUUAGAAUUGCUAGUAAAAGGCAUAACAAGUUAACCAAAAAAACUAUUGAGAUAGAAAAUGAAUGUAAUGAAGAACUUUAACAGUGAAUAUGAAAUUUCAGAUGAUGAAGACUCACAUGAGGUCAAUGUAAAAAUUAAUAAUAGAGAUAAGACUGCAGAGAAAAGACAUAUUGAUGUUGAGAUUGAGAUAGAUGAUAAAGGGGAGCAUAAUGAGGUGUCAUCAGAUUAUGAUUCAGAAGACGACUUAAAAAGCUUAUCAAGUGACAGUGAAGAUGGAAAAAAAAGCAAAUAUUUUCAGAGUUUCAUGCAGAAUCUGACAUGAAGGAUCUAGAAUUUCAAGUGGGAAUGAGGUUCCAAUCUUUCAAUGAACUCAAAGAAGCAAUAAGACAAUACUCAAUUAAUAAUAGAUUCAAAAUUAAAUUUGCAAAGAAUGACAAAAGAAGAGUCAGGGCAGUAUGUAAGGAAGGAUGUGAUUGGUUUAUUUAUGCAACUGUCAUGCAAAGUGAGCCAACAGUACAAGUUAAGUCAUACCAACCCAAGCAUCAAUGUUCCAAGGAUUUUGUAAAUAAGCAGGUAACAUCUACUUGGUUGGCUAAACAUUACUUAGAAAGGAUCAAGUAUGACCCUUCUUGGAAACUACAUGCCUUUCAAGAUGUAAUCAAGAGUGAAUUGUGUGUGAAUGUCUCCAUAGCAAAGUGCUUCAGAGCAAAAAGAAGGGCAUUAAAAAUUAUUGAGGUUAUUGAUACUGAACAAUAUGACAAAUUAUCUGAUUAUUGUGCAGAGAUACGAAAGACUAACCCAGGUUCAAGACUGAUGCUAAAUCUAAGCAAUCUUAUCUUUCAAAGGAUGUUCAUCUGCCUAGAUGCUUGCAAAAAAGGAUUUCAAGCUGGUUGUAGGCCUAUUAUUAGUGUUGAUGGAUGCUUUUUGAAAGGAAAAUAUCAUGGACGGCUCCUUGUAGCAGUUGGCAUUGAUGCAAAUGAUUGCAUCUUUCCAAUAGCAUAUGCUAUAGUGGAAGUUGAAUCAACAGAUACAUGGUCUUGGUUCUUUCAGUUGUUGGCGGAAGAGCUUAACAUUUGGAACUCCUAUACAUGGACUUUUAUGUCAGAUAGACAAAAGGUAAUUUUAUUAUACCAUAUGCUUGUUUAUCCAAAGUAAUUACUUUCCAAAUUAAUAGAUAUUUAUUUAUGCCAAGAUUAGGAUACUCUAUUUCUAUUUAUACUUGUUUAUCCAAAGUAAUUAAUUUAUAUACUAAUAGAUAUUUGUUUUUUGACAGGGUUUGAUUCAAUCAGUGGAAACUCUUUUUCCUAAUGCAGACCACAGAUUCUGUGUAAGAUACUUGUAUAGUAAUUUUAGUACACAAUUCAAAGAAAAGUUCUUAAAAGACUCUCUUUGGAGUGCUGCUAGGAGUAGCUAUAUAGAGGAGUGGGAAAAAUACAUGACUAUUAUUGUUGAAAUCAACAAGGAGGCAUAUAAUUGGGUGAAGAAACUCUCUCCAAGAUGUUGGACAAGAUCAUACUUUAGUGAGUUUCCUAAAUGUGGUUUGCUUUUGAAUAAUUGUGUGUGUUUCAACAAAUUCAUUCUAGAUGCUAAGGGCAAAUCAAUCCUCACUUUGGUUGAGAUGAUUAGAUGUAAAUUGAUGAGAAGAAUCUGUAAGAAAAGAGAAGAAAUUAAGAAGUUGAAAGGUCCAAUAUGUCCAAAAAUUCAAAAGAAGCUUGAGAAGAUAAAAACUGAGUCUGCUACAUGUUGGCCAAUUGCUUCAGGUGGGCCUAUGUUCCAAAUAGGUGCACCUAAUGGACAAUUUGUUGUUGACAUAGAGAAGUAUACAUGUAGUUGUAGAAAGUGGCAAUUGAGUGGGAUUCCAUGCUCGCAUGCAUGCUCAACAAUAUUUCACAAUCUAGAUCAACCAGAGAAAUUUGUCCAUGAAUGCUAUAGCAUAGAGACCUACAAGCAUAUCUAUAGCGAAGUCAUCAAGCCAAUAAAUGGGCAGUUGAUGUGGCCAAAGACAAGGCACCCAAAAGUGAUGCCUCCAACAAUUCAUAAGCAACCUGGAAGGCCAAAAAAGAAAGAAAGAGAGAAGCCGAUGAAGUAAAUAAUUUAACAAAAUUAAACAGACGAGGGAUGCAGAUGACUUGUAGAAAAUGUGGACAAACAUGUCAUAACAAAAAGACUUGUACAAUUAUAGAUCAACCAGUCAAGGUGAGUAACGAUACUAAUAUGACCAUUGAUCCAAGCCAAAAAGUGCAUACUGUGAGGAAAAGAAAACUUUUUGUGAGUAAUUACAUCAAUUUAGUUUUAUUGUUUAUGUUAUACAUUAAUAUAGUUGCAUUAUUUACUUUAAACAUUAAUAUAUUUUUGUGAGAAAAAUUCUUGUUUACAUUAAUAUAGUUGUGCAAGCUGUGUUAUAUAUGCCAUGUAAAACUAAUGCGUUAUAUUUAUUCAUUUAGGUAAGGAGGCGACCUACUCCAAAGACGGUAUCCAAAGAAGAACUAGCUCAACCUGCUCAUGAGGCACAAUCUGCACAACAACCAUCAAUUUGCACACCAUCAAUUAGUAGAUGGAUGCCUAAUAUAAAUUUAGUCUAAUUAAAGAUAUCCUACUAAUGAAUUUCAAUUUUUGAUGUAAAUACAUCACUAAACUUAUUCUUUGAUACAGGAAAAAAGAGCUUUUGACUCUCAAACUCCCACCACAUUACCAGACUCACAGGCCACUAGUAGCAGAUCCAUUCAGGUCUAACUAUAGUAUAAAUUUCAUUAUUUUUCUUAAAUUAUACUAUUUUACUUAUAACAUACUUAAAGUACUCAUUACUCAAAUAUGAAAUCCUAACCUAGGUCCAAACUAGUAGAGGACAAGCAAUAUUUCAGACAUAUAGGCAUCAACCAGGGAGGAGCCAAGUUGGGAGCCAAGUUGCGAGAGGGCCAAUAAGUGUGCAACCUGGAAGAGGACAAAUAAAUGUGCAAAUUGGGAGAGUACAAGCAUGGCGUCAAGCAGGGAGAGGACAAGCAUGGUUUCCAACUGGGAGAGGUCGUGCUUGCUUGAAUCCGAUAGUUAAUUCUCAACCAAGUAAUCAACAAAGAAGAGUGCAGGUUGUUAGAUGGAUGCCCACCAAAACAAAACACUUCAUAUCCUACUACCCAACCAGAGAACAAGACAAGUGAAGGCAAUUAGAAGUUUAUAUUCUCAACAAACAUGAUCCUUUUGGUUCAUUUUGUAUUGUGAAUUUUAUGCCAUUUUGGUGAUAUAAGUAUUAUUUCUUUUAAGAUCCAACUGAUAGUUUGUGACAAGUAAACAAUAUGGUUAAUAUAAGAGGCAAUGGUGAUACUUCCAUUAUCUUUAAUGACUUGGUUGAACAAUAUAAACAUUGUUAAUUUUGGCUUUUAAAUGUUGUUUCCUUUGUUAUUUUGAUACAUGUUGCGAUGAUGUUAUGGUUGGUGUACAGUUUUAAUGCUUUCUUGCAUGGUACUAUAUUGUUCAAUUGUUUGAGAUAAUAAAUUACAGUCUUUCACUUUAUAUGGAUUUUGAGUACGUCAUUAUCUGAGGAUGUGCUAUUCAAAUUAUAAGCAUAACUUCGCAGCAGCUUUAUCAGAAUUGAAGAUUGGAUUUCAAUAAAAAUACAAAUAUCCAGUUUACCUUUUUAAUAUAACAAAAUUUUCGUUUGAAAGAGAAAUAUACAACUACUGGUUAUAAUAGUUUCAUACAAAAUGCAAAAGACCAUAUACAUCAGACAUCAAGAUUAUAACAUAAUUUUAAAUAUUACAAAAUCAGAAAGAACAAUUUAAUACUAAACAAAGAACAUUUACAACAAAAGUCGCUCUCUAUUUGCUGACUAAGAUAGAGAUUUGCUAGGAAUUUGUAGUUAGUUGAAACUUCUUCUUCAUAUCAAAUUCCAGCCAACAAACACAAUCCAAGAAAUAAUUAGUAUCCAUAUUAGCCGCUUAAUCUUUUUCUUUAGAGUGUUCAGCUCGUCCUCCAUUGCCGAUCUCUUCCGCAAAAAACCAAUAAUAACUUGGCGAGAGCGAUAAGUCACAGGGGGAUCAUACCAAGAAAAAUAUCCAUACUCACUAGGUCACUGUAGUGAUCUCUGUAAACAAAAAAACGGGAGGUUAGGAUCCAAAUGAAAAAUCGUGAAAAAGGUUGGGGGCCCAUUUGAAAAAGAAGGAAAAGAUUAGGGACCUAAGUGAAAAAUCGAGAAAAGGUUAAGGAUCGGUGUUGUAACAGAGAGGAAAACACAAAUAAGAAAUUUUCACAAACUUAAAACCUCAAAAAUAAGGGAAGAAAAUGAACAUCGAAAGAGAUUACCUCAUAGUGUCUGCAGCAAAAAAAUAUCCUACUAGAAUUAGCUUCAGUCCAUGAUGUCUUUAAAGUAGCUGCGACGCCACAGUAACAGAUAGGAACAUUAUGGCUUUCGGUGGACAUUUCAGACAUUUCUCAAGGUAGUGUGAUGCUCAAGAGAAGAAAAAAUGAAUUAUUACAGUGAAAACCCUUUUCUCUUAGCUAGGUUUUUUUCUAUAUAUAAAGUUAAAAAGGAAGAAAGGGUUUCGGACAUUUUAUAUUUAUAUAUUUAUCCUAUUUAUAUUCCCUACAAAUAAUUGGUCAAAGAUCAUUAUGACCUAAGGCGGGAAAUUUUCCCUCCAAAUAGACACCAACGUGGCGCCUACGUAUCAGUUUCCGUCGAGUGUGACGGAAAUAUAGACGGUAGGACCUAAUUGAAAUAAUUUAUUGCAAUUGGGGACUCAAUUGACGAAAAAAAAAGUUAGGGACCUAGUUGAAAAUUUGGAAAAAGGUUGGGGACUAUGGUGUAAUUUACCCUUUUUAAAAUAAAACUUCAGAAAUAUCUCAUUUGCCCUUAUUUUUUUUUUUUUUCAAUAUGCUCCUCAUAUGUUCCUCCGUUAUUCCAAAAUACCCCUACAGUUAUCACCCGUUAAGUUAACUUGGGUUAAACGUGAGUUAAAUAUCUACCACAGUUUAAAAAAAUUAAAAUGUCAAUUUUACCCUUAACUUAAGGACAAAUAAGAAAUAUUGGUGACGAUAGACGGGUAUAUUUGAAAAGAUCAAAAGUCAAAAUACUUUUCGUACCCCUGAUUUAAGGGCAAAUAAGAAAAAUCGGUGAUUAUGGAAGAGUAUAUUUGAAAGGGCAAAAUAGUAAUUUUAUACAGAUAAUAGAGUUCAUUAACAGAUUUUAAUUCUAGGGGUAUAUUUGAAAUAGGUUGGAACGUAAAAAGGGUAUUUUUCAAUAUUAGCCUUCUAAGAGGGGUAAAUCAGAACGUCGGAAACUUUUCAGGAGUAUAUAAGCAAUUGCCCCAAUAAUAAAAAUGCAUUUCCUCUUCUAUAAGAAAAUAUACUUUUUAAAUAUAUUUCUUUUAUUUUGAAGAGUAUUUUUGAUAUAAAUUAAAAGAAAUAGAUAGAACAGUGAUAAAAACUUGACGGGAGAAAAAUUAAAUACAACAAUUUAAAAUAUUGAAGGAGUAAAAUAUAGAUUUUUUUUUAAAUUUAGAAAGGAAAAAUAAAUAGCGUUCCGAAAAUAUUAACAGGGUCGCUAGUUCAAAUAAUAGGUCAGUCAUUAAUAUUUAGUAUAUAAAAAAAUAUUCAUUAAAAACAGCCAAAAAAGCAGAAUUUAAUUGAAAAUGCGUCAUUCUUAAAAUAUACUUAAUUAUAAAAUACUUAUUUCUCAAUGAAAUUAAAUAGAUAUAAAUUUUCAAGUUUUACUUUUUAUAGAGCUAAUAUGUGCUAAUAGAAUAAAAAAUCAGCUAAAUUUGAGUUUAAGUUGUUGGAUUUUAAUAUAACGUGACUAAACAAAUUCUCCCUUAUUUGAUUAAAACCAGAUAAUGGUUGAACCACAAUUCAAAGUGGUUUUUAACUUAUCCGGUUCAAAGGAUUGAACCGAACUGCUUUAUAGACUGUGUCAUAGUUUAAUAGAUCGAACUGGCGAGUUCGAUCUGCUUUUAAAAUUAUUGGAAAUUGUCGCACUUGCCCUUAUUUAGUUUUCAAAAAUUAUUUUAAAAAUUAAUUUUCUGGCUAAAGUUUUUUGAUCUAUUUGGUGUGGAAAAAAAUCAAAAUUUUGUGAAAAAAUAAUAUUUUUAUUUUUUUUUUUUUUUAUCUGAAAAGUAGUUUUCCAUGAUUUUUCUAGAAACCAAAAAGGGACAUUUUAGUUGGAUAAAAGUGUAAGUACAAUAUAAUUAGAGAAAUACAGUAUAGUUGAAAAUACAUAUAGAUGAAAAUGCAGUAAUUAUUAUUGUAUGCAUCUUAAUUAUUUGGUUGAGUAUAGGAGAAAACGCUAAACUUAUAAAUAAUUUUUUUGGUUGAAUUAAGUUGAGAGAUGUGUUUACAAAUUUCAUCAUAUCACAUAUGAGAUAGUGGAUACACUACAAAAAAGUUAAUUUGUGGUGACAGUUAAUUUAGUAACACUUAAUACAAGCGCUUGCAAAAAUAUAUUUUAGCAGCGGUUUUAGCUAAUUAUUAUUAUAACAGUUUUAAACCAUCGGUAUAUAGUAAUAUAAUAAUUUUUUAUGAUAAUUUUUUUUAGUAACACUUAACAUAAGUGUUGGCAAAACUAUAUUUUACUAGCGGUUUAAAUUAAUUAUUAUAAUGGUUUAAAAUCGUCGAUACAUGAUUUAAUUAAAUUAAAUUAAGUUUUCAUGAGACUUAAUUUAUCUAAUUAAAGUAUAUUAAACAUUUAUAUAACUUAGCAAAUCUAAGCUAUAACCUAUUCUAUUUUAGGAUAUAGACUUGUACAAACUUUUAUAUUUUUUUUAUCUUUUUAUUUUUAUUUUAUUUAAUAAUUAAUAAUAUUAUAAUAAUAUUUAAAAUAUUAAUAGUUUUAAUUAUUUUUUUUUUUUGAGGAAAAGUUUUAAUUAUAUUAAUAGUUUUAACUAUAUAAAAGAUAAUUUUUUUACAAAUUAUGGUGGAAAAAAAAAACCUAAUGCCACCCUAAAACCACCUAGUUAGAGCUGGCCCAAAUCUAGCCCUAAAAUCGUACCCUUGUUUUAAUAAAUAAUAAUAAUAAUUAUUUUAAUUAUAGUAAUAUAAAAUAAAGUUAAAAGAUCGAAAAAAAUCUCCAAAACCCUCCUCUGUAAUUAAAAAAAGGUAAAUUCCUCAACCCCGAGCUCCACGCGCCAAUGCUCCGAUGCUCCGCGCAAGCCCCGCGCUCCGCGCAAGCCCCGCGCUCCAACGGUCCGACGCCGAUCUCUCUCUCUCUCUCUCUCUCUCUCUCUCUCUCUCUCUCUCUCUCGCACAAUUUGAGGCUCCUCCAAAGAGGAGCGCGGCGAAACCCUAGAUUGUGAGUGUGAUUAUUUUCCUCGUGUAAUAUGCCCCUUUUUUUAAUAUUUUAAUUCAAUUUCAUUACAUAUUUUCUAUUCUUUCUUUGAGUCUUUUUAAUCCAUUGUUUGUUUGCUUUUUUAUUUUUUAUGGUAUUUUUAAUCCAUUAGAAUAGAGAGAGAUCGAAAAUUUGCUGCUUGGGUUGGAGGAUCUGAUUCUACAGUAGUGGAGGUGAGCUUUUUUUCGUGAUCGGGAGUGAUUGGAUUUGUCUAUAUGUGUAAUGACCCGGACGAUCCGCAACCGUCGAUGACGAGGAAUUCGGUGAGACGAGCACGGCGGGGAGGAUGAUGGGUCUGAGAGGCGAGCCUUUGGCGCUGUUGCUAGUAAGAAGAGAAAUUGGGAGAAAAGAAUGGGAAUUAGGGAUAUGAGAGAGAUAGAGAGGGAUAAGAAAUUGGGAUAGAGAUUAGAGAUAGAGAAAGAGGAGAAUUGGGGAAAGAAGGGUUUAGAGGGGAAGAAGGAUUGGGGAAGAAGAUAAGCAAUAUUUCAUUUCAUUGAUAUCCUGUUGCAAUUACAUUCUUGUGCAUAUACUCUCUACAACUAAGUACUGAAGUUAAAGUAGACUAUCCUAGGAGGGCUUAACAGCAAAAUUGUAAAAAUUAGUACUGCCGGCCGUCCGGGUUGAGUUCAGGCCCAAGAGUGUAACUGUGGUCGGGCUUGGGUUAUCGGGUCGCACCUCUUGUCCGCUCCGCCAAAGGCGGAUAGUGGGUCCGCUUUUCACAUCCGCUCCGAGGAUUCGGCCAUCCGACCCGCUAAGAUUCAAGUACGCCCUUUUUGCCCCAAAUCCCCUGGCUCUGUCGGAUCUCCUUCUCCCUCGGCGUUCCUCCCGUCUUCCCUCUGUACUCCGACGAUGCCCUAAUCCUCGUCGCGCGCCGGAGUUUCGCCUGAACCAGAACCUGGAGAAGAGCCGCAUCACAGGCAUCACGAAGCACCUGGAGAAGAACCAGAACCCUAGCUGGCACCAGGUGUUCGCCUUCUCCAAGGACCGCAUCCAGGCGAACUUCGUGGGCCGCAUCGUCUUCGACCUCACCGAGGCGCCCCUCGCCCCGCAGUGGUACAAGCUCGAGGACAAGAAGGGCGACAAGCUCUCCUCCGGCGGCGGCGGCGGCACCCAACCCGACGAGGCCUUCCCCGACGCCUGGCACUCCGUCUUCCUCGACGCCCUUGCCGUCGGUUCACCCCGCCGAGCUCGCUCCCUCACCAACCUGCUGCUGCCACUUAUUUCAUCCCUACCUCGUAAAGUUGCUACCUUUACUACUCCUCCUUUAUUCUUCAGGUUGUUACAAUAUGCUAUUUAGUUUUUGAUUUCGCAAAUUGGAGCAGUCCGAGCUUUUUUCUGUGUUCCGCUUGCAUUUAGAUUCGAUCAUUUUUGCUGCUUAUUUUACUUAAAUCUUUGCUGUUGAAAACAAUAAUAACUUUACUUUAACAGAAAUCCGCCGCAUCAAUACCAAAUCUUUUUUAUGUGGCUAACGAGCAAAAUUUUAAUUAAAAUAAGCCAUCAACAUUAUAUAUCUAAACUGAAAAGCAGGAACAGCUACUAGAUUCCAAAAAUUAAGAAGAAAAAAGAAAUACGACAAUAGCUGGAAACGAAUGUUGCAAUUAUCCCAUAAUCUAUAUGGUUAUUAGUUUAGUGCACAAGUAGAUUUGGGCGACUUGGUGUUUGUUUUGUAUUUUGGAGACAGUGUUGAAAGUUUUUUUUUUUUUUUUUUUUUUUUUUUUUUUUUUUUUUUGUGGGGUUAACUUGUUAAGAGAUAUAAACACAAGAAAGAAAUAAUAAUGGGGUGAAUAUUGAGUUGGGAUUUUAAGAUGUUGUUGAUGUUAUCGUAUAUUUUGUGCAUAGCAAAUGGUCAGGUGUAUUAUGCUGUGGGUGGCGCUAAUUAGUUUUUAGCUUAUGUGGGUUGAGAUAGUUAACAAAAUUUUUAAUAAAUUUAUAUCCGAUAUGGAAGGAAUUUGUAGGGAAUUUCUUGCAUUUUAGCCUUAUGAAGUUAUGAUAAUAUCCAGGUGGUUUUAGGUUUCAUCUUUCUACCUGAAUAUUAACAGUUGAUUAUUGGAGUUGUAUUUUUUGUAUAACUCUAUAUAAACUGUGUUUUCAAAUUAGGCUUUAAAUUUUACUUUAAUUGUUGCUUCACUUGGUUUUGGGGGUAGUGAUUUUCUCUAUUUCUUUUGUUUAUUAGGCUUCUAAUUGCUUGGAUUUGGUGGUACUCUCCUCGUCCCCAGCUCAGAGGGAGAGAUUGGUUGUGUCUUGCUUGGGUUGGGGGUUUCGAUUGCCCAGUCAAUUCGCUUUGUGUGAUCGGGGGCUAUCGGAUUUGCUUUUUUCGUUGGUGUUCGGGCACGGCGCGCUAGAGUUUAGAAGUGAGGCUUCGAGGUGAGCUUAUCUCGCUUCUCGUUUACUACUCUCGAAACCCUAGGUUUAAUUCUUUGUUUUUUUAAGUAUAAAUCCCUUGUUGCUUCAAUUGUAUCUGGUUUUUUAAGUAUAAGAUUGAAGGUGACGAGGAUUGGAGGAAUAGUUAUGCAGUCGAGUUUUUACAUAAGGAGUUGCGGCACUUUAUAGCUUGGUUGAUUAUUUACUUUUACUCAUGAUUUGUUGAUAUUAUGUCUCGAGUGAUGAAUGGAAUAUCAAUUUUUGCCACAUUGCUGCAUUCUUUAUGAAAAGCUGUAAUCAUAUCAAGUUUCUUCAUGCUUUGGUGAGAUGCUAUAUAGUACAUUGAAUAGCUAGUAAGUUCUCCAACUUCUCUGACAUUAUUUUGUUAAUUUUGCAGCUUAUUCACUUACUGAAGCUUUUUUGAGCAAUCAGAUGGCUCCUCCAUCGAAAGGUGUGUUGCUUCGUUGAGAUUAUGUUACUUUAUGAGGAUCGUUCAUAUUGAUAUAUUUUCGGUGCUUAAAAUUAAAAUGGUUAAAAGCACCGAAAAAGGGUUACACAAGUCUAGAGAAAUUCAACUGCUAGUUUUGGAUCGUGAAAAUGAAGUAGACCAGUAGAUGAAUUAUGAAUAAGCUUCUCCUAUGGUCAUAUGAAGGCGAAGACUGUUGCCAGCUUUGAGCUGCUCGCCUUCUCGGUCAAUCCCCUUUGUUCAUGACUUUGGAUUUCUUGUCGUGUUGAAAAUUCGGCUAUUCAUUUCAUAAUCCCUACUUAAAUUCCUGUAGCAUUUCCCUUGAAAGGAUUGAGUGGGUGGUUGCUUGAAUAGUAUGAUCUAACGGGUCGAAAUGGUCAAAGGGGUAGAUUUAACGGUAGAAAACUUGAUAGCACCAAGCGUUUGGUAUUAUCGAUAGUAUAGCAGCCGGACUCAUAUAUAUUUGUGUGUGUGUGUGUGUGUGUGUGUGUGUGUGUGUGUGUGUGUGUAUAAGGUGUAAAAUAGUAUCCUUACAUCUAAAUUAGAGUUAAAUAUUUAACCCAUAGUUAACCAUAAUUUUGUAACAGAUUCUUAGGGUAGAAAUAUUUUUGUAAACGAUAAACUUUUUAAAGAAAUAAAUAUAAGAAAAUUGGUAGAAAUAAAUUUAGACACAACUUUUAUUUAUUUAUUUUUUAUUUUUGCAGAAAGUUGUAUGCAAUUAUCCCUAAAUUUUAUGUGUUAUUGUAUACAAUUGUCCCUCAAUUUAUGUGUUAUAACAAUGACCGAGAAGAGUUUUUGCGCGGAACUGAGCGCCUCACUCGUUGCCAUUGCACAGCAUAGUAAUAACCCUCGACUCUGAGAGAAGGAAAAGAGGAAGGUAAAGAGGUUGGGGAUGGCACUGCGUGGGCCGCUGGGAUGGUCGGAGGGGGAGCUGAUGCGGUCAGAUGCUAAGCCUUGCUCCAGGCUCAUGCGCCAGACUGCUGCCAUAUUCAGUGUCGGCGGUGGCCUCGCCUUCUGGGUCCUUUGUCGCCUCCACUACGGUCCCUCUCUUCUCUUUUUUCUCCUUUUUAAUGCUUGCUCCGCUCAAUUCUCUCUUGCUUUUCCUUUUUCUUAUCUUUACUUUUGUAGUUUCUCAUCACAUUAAGAUUUAAGUUAUGCAGAAAUAUUUAUUUUAUCUUUUUUGUCCUAUUUUCAACUGGCAUUGUCAACUGAUAUGCAAGAUUAUUGACACCUACGCAUGCUUGAUCAAGGAGAACUCCUUUUCUGCUAGCAAUUUGAAUAAAGGGUAUAUAGUUGAGGCUUUACAAAGUUGAAGGUUUCUUUUUAGUGCAGAAAAUGGUAAAUUUCCAUUGAAACGAGUCACAAAAUUGUUGAUGAGAUAAAUGCCGAUGUGAAGAGAUCGAUUGGCUGUGUUUUAGUUGGAUCAAUAGUUUUUUUGUGAACUUCUUCAUUGAGUAUAGACUUCUGAUUUCCGUCGCUUUUGUUGUGACAUCAAAAGAAUGCGUGUUAUAUUUAUGAACUCCUAGUCUUUUUGCUUAUUUUCUAGUUACAUGUUUGUGAUUAGAAUUUAUGGUUUGAGAAGGGACUAUGAAGGAGAUUUUGAACCCAAAUCUCAUGUGAACAUAAUUGAAUCAAAAGAAGCCUGCUUCUUUUUUUGUAUUUGUCCACAAUGUGGGCAAACCUUCACGGAACUUCUUUUGAUAUCUGGAAAAAAAGAAAACUAUUGAAUCAUUUAUUUUACCUAUGUGCGAAAUUAAUUGUACUUCAUCUCGCAGAAAACUUAAACUCAUAAUGAUGCUACUUGUGGCUAUAAAAUGAGCUUAUAUAACUUCUUUCCCUAUAACAGGCUAAAAGUUUGGUGCUUUAUUUGCAUCAAGGUUUUAAGUGCCCGUCGGCACGGGCCGUAUCCACUGUGUUGUACCGUGCCAACAAGAUACCGGCACGAUACAGACCUCGUGCCGAUGACACAGCUCAAAACCUUCUAUUCUUUAAAUUAGUAAGAAAUUUCCUCAAUAAAGUUCAAAAGAUGUGAUAAAAAGACAUAAUAAAUAGUUAGAAUAUUUUGUUGCUAAAGAAAAUAAAUAUUUCAUCCUAUUAUGUGUCGGCACACAAGAAUUUUUUUGACUGGCAUGUUCGGCACGGCUUAGCACACACCAUGCCGUACCGUGCUGACAAGUUUCUGGCACAAUCCCGUGUCACAACAUUUAAAUCCUUGAUUUGCAUAUUUCAAUAUGUGAAUUGAAAUUGCGUAAUAUAUGUCGUGGAAUGUUACGUGUUAAAGCAAACUUAUGAGGCAGAGAAUAUUCUCAAUCUUGUUUAAAUGCCUAAGUUGAUUAGCUAUGUUUCAUCAGCUAUACUCUUCUCUUCAUACACAAUUUAUCGAAAGUAUGUUAAAGCAUUUGGUACUUUAUGUAAUGAUUCAUAUUUUGUUAGAUUUAGGACUUAAGUGAAAUACAACACGUGAAUAUUGGUACCGAUGUUAUAUUAAGAACUAAUUGUUAAAGUGUCUAUUAUUAGCAUACCAAUGAUAAAUAACUGUGUACUUAGUAUCUAUUCUUACUCAACAGAAAAUUCAAAUAUUGAACCUUAAUGCUUCUACUUUAUGGUUUGUCUACAGGUCCAAGAAUAACUGUUCCGAGAAGUCUGAGGUGGGCUUCCUGCGGUGCAAUAUCAGUGAGCUCCUCAUCGGCUCUUCUGGUCCGACUUUUCAGUCCUGAGUGCGAACCACAGAAUAUAGCUGCUUAUGAUAAAUCAAAUAAAUAGCAUGCUUUACUCUCCUAGUAAUUUUCAUCUUACUCUGAUUAGAAUAACUUGGUUAAAUGUAUGUUUAUGCUGUCAUGCUGUCAUGGCUGUACAAGUUUCUUAGUUGUUGAUAAAAUCUUCUUAUGUUUAUUUCUAUUUGAAAUGAAUACAAAAGAAGAGGAUUUUGAUGUUCACUUUUGAAUGAUCCUGUAGCUACAUCAUUCCUUCAAAUGAAUUGGAGUUUUCUGCUGUCUUAGUUUUUUUUAUAGUGACAAUUUAACUAAUACAUUAUAUGUGCCAAAAAAAAAAUCUAAUAGCUACUGUUUGUAAUUGUCAAAGCAUUCUUCUUUAUUCUCAAGCACAAUGAAAGGAAAUUUAGUUGCUAUAAACUCAUGAUCUAUUGUGUUACUUAAAUCCUUGAACUGUGGCAGAGAGGUACCAGCUUGAGAGCAAAUGAGACUUGUAUUUAAGGUUGUGUUCUUAGUCAUUCUCUCAUGGUAUACUUGUGGUGGGUCACUUUUGCAAAGUUAAAGGGGACUUUCUUCUUCUUGCACUCUAUUUUCCUCUGGAAUUGUGAUCUCCAUAUAUAUAUAUAUAUAUAUACACAUGACAUGGAGGCUCCUCUAUUUUCCUCUGAACAAAUUGUGUUCUCCAUAUAUACAUAACAAGGACGCUCCUUAAAAUUUUGAGUGUAAUUUUUAUUACAUCACACUUGUGAGGUUAACAUAUGAACCACAUGUGUUAGGCUCUCGAUCUAUGCAAACUUAUGUUUCAACCUCAUAUUUUGGUUUGUCCUGUGCUAGAGUCAUGCAUAUGCACUACUACUACUAUAGCCAGUUUGUGAAGAUACAUAAUUUUAAUAUUAGAAAAUGGAUUUUCUAUAUAUCUUUUUCUAUAAAUCGUUUUGAAAUUGGGUGAUAUACGUGCCUUAGAAUCAAUGGGCCUCUUUUGGCAUUCCAAGCCCAUCAUAGAACUGUCCACUCAUCAUGGUAGGCCUAAUGUGAGCCUUACUUGGUUAAUACUGGCCCGACCUAUUAGCACAGGUCCACUUUGCAUUUAUAUAUAUGAUCUUCAAUUAUCUAUUCGGCGGCCACAUUUUAUUGAAGUUAACUCGCGAGUUUAUUAGGGCAUUUUCUAGGGCUCUUUCCUCAUCUAUAUUCAUCAUCUAUCGCCUUCUUUGCACGCCUUUCGAUUGCUUGAGAAAAUGCCCAAAAGAGUAGUGGCUCAUAGUCAUUGUAUACUAUCCUGGUACUACAAGUGAUCUGCAAACAAAUUGUCCGUUGUUGUAAAAUUUAAUAAAUAGUUGCAUUAUUCUUCUUGGUACGCAUCGCCUCAUGUAGUCAUGUUGUGUGUUCAACAACCCCUAUGCUUUUCCCCUUUCGAGGCUCAGAGAUUGAUGCAGGGGGAAAGAGAUUCUGCAUAAACUGCGGUAAUAAUGUAGCUAGACCCUGCUAGCAAGCUUUAUUAAUUUGUUCUGAACUGACAAGUUGUGCCAUAUGUACGUGAUCAUCAACAAAUGUUUGUCUCCAAACAGAAGAGAUAGGAUAAUAAUCAAGUGCUCCUACUGGUUGUCAUUCUUUUCCUGAAUAGGGUUUGCCUUCUUUUAGUGUUUUCGAGUCUUGGAAGGACCUACGAGCUAGAAGAUUAAUUUACUACAAGAAUUCCUCUCUGAGCACAGUGAGUUCCAACUGCUAUGAAGAAAGAAGGCUUGAUGAUUUUCGACAUAAACUUGGCUGGUAAAAUCACUCACUAUUCCCUUGUUUUCUCUUUUGAGUAGCAUGGCCGGUUUAUUUGAAAUCAGCAAAAGCAUCCAAGGGAGACUUACUUGAAAAGGUUUGGAUCAAUGUAUAAUUAUUUCAUUAUUUCAGUUUCUUCAAAGUGAAGAUGAUGAUACUACCCCAUUUUUAUGUUUAAAACAUAUUGUUCUAUGUGUAGGAACAAUUUGCCAUUGGUGCCAAUGACGUAGUACGCAUUCUAGAAAGAACAUGCUUCAAGGCAGCGCAAGGACUAAUUCUGAAUAGGUGCCUACCACCAUUGCUCUUCGUAGAGUUCCUUUGAUUCCACUGCAGGUGAAUUUGAUGCUCAUCUUGCGCCUUUUCUUUUUUUGAAGCUCCGUCCGCUCUUCACCCAAUUCUGUCUUUCAUCAUUUUUUGCUGUUAGCCCUCUCAAAGUGGCUGCAGUUUAGCAGCAAGAAUUCUACACUGUUUGACCUUCAAUUUUCUGCUGUUAAACUUUUCAAAGUUGCUAUAGUUAGGUCAUCUUCAAUGCGUACAUGUGUAUGAAAUAUGCUGUUAUACAUGCCUUACAUUAAGGCUUCAUUUGGGAUUGCGGGGAGAUUGUGUUACCUGCGGUGAAAAACUACGAUAGAAAAAAUACUUUGUAUGUAUCCGUACAUAAUAUUACAUUCCAUGUAUCGCAAUGAGCCAGUUAUAAUAUAUUUUUUGCGAUUCCAUUGAAAAAUGCUGAAGCAUAUUCCUAUAUAUAUAUAUAUAUAUAUAUAUAUAUUUUUUUUUUUUUUUUUUCUUCCCAACUCCAUUUUAUUUGUUGCGCUAGAUAGUCCUUAAUAUCGAAUGGGCCCUAAGAUUGCUUUUUUUCAAAUCCUAUGCCUUUCCCUACAACUUUUUUAUCCAGUUUCAUUGGGCCUAGAUGAUUUAUCUCUUUAGCUUAAGUAUACACUUCGUUUAGCAGAAUAUGUAGAAUGCUACUGCUAUUAGGAUGAUUACUGGGAAACACAGAAGCAUAUCUCUAUAUAUAUUUUUUUCAACUCCAGUUUAUUUGUUUGCAUUCAGUAGGCCUUUAAUACCAAAUAGCCCCUAAGAUUGCUUUGAUAGUGCUUCUUUCAAAUCUUAUGCCUUCCAAUUCCCUACAACCUUUUUACCCAGUUUCAUUGGGCUUAGGUAAUUUAUCUCUUUAGCUUAAGUUGACACUUCAUUUAGCAGAUAUCUGUAGAAUGCUAGUGCUAUUAGGAGGAGCUAAUGCUAUAAGGAUGCUUGGACAUGGCACUACGUAAUGAUUAUGAAUGCUGAAGAAGAUGUGUUUCUGUAAGUCACUCAGAAACUUACAGAAGGCCCAGAACUUUUGGAACAUGUGAAGUAGUGAGCAUCUAGAAACUUCUUUUAAU
This 65767-nucleotide long non-coding RNA is filed under the name Ananas comosus (pineapple). RNAcentral describes it as "long non-coding RNA (ACOM_LNC006831)". Lineage: Eukaryota; Viridiplantae; Streptophyta; Magnoliopsida; Poales; Bromeliaceae. The record is from RNAcentral.